Molecule: long non-coding RNA, 77578 nt
Filed under: Triticum aestivum (bread wheat)
Lineage: Eukaryota; Viridiplantae; Streptophyta; Magnoliopsida; Poales; Poaceae
Description: long non-coding RNA (TAES_LNC014038)
Source: RNAcentral
CUGCAUUUUCUUCACCUGCGCUGGCAGCCUAUGAUGCACCUACGUCUAUGUCUGAGAGAUGUAUGGGCUUAGAAGGACCAGAACCUAUUUUUUACAAGACUCGGUUUUGGUAAUAGCAUUCCACGUAAUUAACCCCUCCUCUCUCUUUGUAAAAAAUAAUCAUCCUCAUUCAUCCAUCGAUUCAACACCAACAGGUGGAAAAUUGAUGCAUAAAUUAUUUUUACCAGUGGAAAAAUCAUAAUACGGUGGAAGGAAAUUUAGAAAAAUGCAAUCACUGUAUAUAAUGUGCCUUGUAUUAGCACCUAGGGAAUACAUUCCUUGUAUUAGAUAUAUUCAUUUUUUUGUAACCCAUAUAAACCCCCAAAAUAUAUAAAUACACACUCUAACAAUAGUUAUCCGCGUAAUGGAAAAGUUGGUUACCGAUGGCAGAGGAGGACCCCACGGCGGAGCACGGCCUCAAGCUUGCCAUCAAAGACUACCCUUUCGCUAAUGACGGGAUCCUCAUCUGGGGCGCGUUCAAGGGGUGGGUGCUGGCAUACGUCUCCUGGUAUUACUGGGACGUUGCCACCGUCGCCGGCGACGUGGACCUACAGGCGUUCUGGAAGGAGGUGUGCACCUGGGACACGGCGAUAAGAAGCAUGCGCCCUGGUAGCCUAAGCUGGAUACGCCGGAGAGCCUAGCGCACACGCUCACCACCAUCAUCUGGAUCGCGGCGGCGCAGCACACGGCGGUCAACUUCCGGUAGUAUGACUUCGGGGGACACUUCCCGAACCGCCCCUCCAUCGCUCGCACCAACAUGCCGGUGGAGGAGCCUGUGGACAACCAGGCGCUCCGAGAAUGCUUCCCGUCGCAGGUGCAGGCAAAGCUUGUGAUGACGGUUUUGGACGUGUUGUCCAGUCACUCUCCUGACGAGGAGUACCUCGGAGGGAUGGAGAGCGCACAUUGGGGCGACGACACCAUGGUGCAGGCGGCGUAACUGAGGUUCAACGAGUGUCUUAAGGAGGUGGAUGGGAUCAUCGACGGAAGGAACAAGGACAGGAAGCUCAAGAACCGGUGCCGUGCCGGCAUCGUGCCGUAGCAGCUCAUGAAACCAUUCUCCCAGCCCGGCGUCACCGGCAAGGGCAUCCCCAACAUCAUCUCCAUUUGAUUCUACAGAGCUAAAAUAAACCACAUGUCUCUGAUCCCUUUUCUAGCUGAUGAGUUCGACGCACUUGUGGAAAACCUGCUGCGAGGUGCUUGCCGUCUGAACAACUACAGCGCCGUGACAACUCACAAGCAUGAAUCUUACAUUCUUAAGAAGUUGUUCCAAUUCUCACAACAAAUAGUUCAUUUCAGUCUUAUAUUUUCUUUUCAUUAGAUUUAGUUAUUUUUCCCAACUAUUUGUGCAUUUUUUAACAAAUUACUGCAGCAACGCGUGGGAUAUCAUCUAGUCAUUACAAGUUUUUGACAACCUUCACAGAAACUCCGACAUAAUACAAGGCAAAAACCAAAAAGCACCAUCUCGCAAGAUGCUAAGAAGAUCAGUUGCUGGUUAAGCCAAGGCCGUCGCUGUUGCCGUAACAGAUUAUUUGCUUCAUUCUUUCAAAUUAAUACUUCUAUAAUGUAUAAACUAUGGCGGAUACUUCAGUUCAUUGAUCUAUACAUCAAAGCGAAAGCUUAUUUCAAGAGAAUAAUAAGAAGACUUGACGUUUCACAGAAGGCCUGGCAAAUGUUGGUUUCGCUUUGUAGAUCUAAUCUACAUCAUCUACAACUUCUGUUUUGAAAGUUGGGGUUUGCUUCGUACAACUCCUUUAGAAAUGUAUACAAAUCACUUCUUCUUCAGUACAAGUACAACCACCUUAAACACAUCGAUGUACCAAAUCUGUCAAUAUCCCUUCGUAACAAAGGGCAAGAUGGUCUUUUUUAAAGUAUUUUUUUAUAUGUGGCUUGUGUACGUCCCACACACACUCUCCCCGGCCUGGGCCAACACAUUUUAUACAUUUUUUCACUUUGGUAAACCUUUAAAAAAUAAAUGCCUUGACAACAUUCGAACCCAGCACCUAUUUGCUUAGUACAACAACAAUGAUGAACUGGCCAACUUUCUUAUUGUGUCUAACUAGCACAAAUGCUCGUGCAUUGCAACGGGAGAAUACACCGCCUUUUAUGAAUCAUAGUUACCCGAGUCGAGAGGGCGCUGAUCAGAAAUAAGAAGAUGGAUGAUUUGAGUAUAUUGUGACUUGAGAUUUUGAGUAAAUUGACAUGCGUGUUCAUUCUGAAAUUUAGAAGUAGAACAUGAAAAAAAUAGCAAUAUCAAUAAAUCUGAAGUAACAGUAGCAGCAAACAAAUCAACCUGAAAUAACAAUUGCAACAAUAGCAAGCAAACAAACCUGUAAUGAUAUUAGCUGCAAAAAUUCUCAACCUACGGUUUGCAACGGAAAAAAAAAAUAUAUACCACAUGCACCUAACUCAAUACCCAACGCCCUCUAUUUGAACUAUUAUACUGAUAUCAGUAAGCACUCUUCCUGGAAUAGGCAAGGGAAAAGGAAAUUUAUGACUCCUAGAAGGAACUUGUGGUGAACACAAGAAACCUACAAAAUUAGUCAAGGAAAUGAUGGCCGUGCAUUGCUACGGGUUGCCAUCCGGAUCAUUGAUUUUAGAAGUAAAAAAAUGCUCUCAUUUCCUCCGAUUCCAUUUGCUUUAGAUGUGCAUUGCUCUCAAGUGGAAGGGAUGUGGUUGGAAAGGGAAGAGCACACAGAAAAGUUUCAUCAAGUGCAACAUGUAAUCUGAUUAUUAAGUACACUACUAGGAAAAGGGCUAUAGAUGAUAUGACCACUAAUGACGCACCAGAAACGUGGUGCGUCACUACUAUAUAGUAAUGGUGCACCAUGAGCUGGUGCGCCAUUAGUAACAUUGUUUUUCCAAAAAUACUAAUGGCACACCAGGGAAGAAUGCGCCAUUACUAGUUUAAUUAGUAAUGGCGAACCUCCAACACAGUGUGCAACUACUAUUUUUUUUUGCAAAACUACUAUCAUUUUUAUUUUUCGAACUCAUGAAUAUUUUUAAAUUUAAUUCAUGGGUACUUUUUGAAUUCAUGAAUAUUUUUUCAAAUUUGAUGAUAUUUUUUCAUAUUCAAUAUGAAAAAAUAUUGAAUAUUCAUGAGGACACUCGAUCUCGAUCCCCCUCCAUCUCGAUCGCUAUCCCCCUCGCUGCCGAGCACCCCCCGCACCCUCCCCCCGCUUCNNNNNNNNNNNNNNNNNNNNNNNNNNNNNNNNNNNNNNNNNNNNNNNNNNNNNNNNNNNNNNNNNNNNNNNNNNNNNNNNNNNNNNNNNNNNNNNNNNNNNNNNNNNNNNNNNNNNNNNNNNNNNNNNNNNNNNNNNNNNNNNNNNNNNNNNNNNNNNNNNNNNNNNNNNNNNNNNNNNNNNNNNNNNNNNNNNNNNNNNNNNNNNNNNNNNNNNNNNNNNNNNNNNNNNNNNNNNNNNNNNNNNNNNNNNNNNNNNNNNNNNNNNNNNNNNNNNNNNNNNNNNNNNNNNNNNNNNNNNNNNNNNNNNNNNNNNNNNNNNNNNNNNNNNNNNNNNNNNNNNNNNNNNNNNNNNNNNNNNNNNNNNNNNNNNNNNNNNNNNNNNNNNNNNNNNNNNNNNNNNNNNNNNNNNNNNNNNNACAAAUUUGAUGAUAUUUUCAAUUAAAAAUAAAAAACAAAUUUGAUGAUAUUUUAAAAAAAACAAAUUUGAUGAUAUUUGAUGAUAUCUUCUGUUCUAGUCCUCAUGAAAAUAACAAAUUUGAUAAAAAACAAAUUAUUAGAUGCAACAAGAAAUAAUAAAAAAAAGAAGUUACUAAUGGCGCAUCGGAGGAGGGUGCACCAUUGCUAUCAGAAAAAAAUUUACUAAUGGCGCACCAGAGGAUUGUGCGCCAUUGCUAUGAGUGUUUUUAUGGCGCACCCGUAGUGUUGGGGAACGCAGUAAUUUCAAAAAAAUUCCUACGCACACGCAAGAUCAUGGUGAUGCAUAGCAAUGAGAGGGGAGAGUGUUGUCUACGUACCCAUGCAGACCGACUGCGGAAGCGUUGACGCAACGUAGAGGGAGUAGUCGUACGUCUUCCCGAUCUGACCGAUCCAAGCACCGUUACUCCGGCACCUCCGAGUUCUUAGCACACGUACAGCUCGAUGACGAUCCUCGGGCUCCGAUCCAGCAAAGCGUCGGGGAGGAGUUCCGUCAGCUCGACGGCGUGGUGAUGAUCUUGAUGUUCUACCAUCACAGGGCUUCGGCUAAGCACUGCUACAAUAUAAUCAAGGUGGAAUAUGGUGGCAGGGGGCACCGCACACGGCUAAGGAACGAUCUCAAUGAUCAACUCGUGUGUCUAGGGGUGCCCCCCUGCCCCCGUAUAUAAAGGAUCCAAGGGGGAGGGGGCGGCCGGCUAGGAGGAGGGCGCAGGGGGAGUCCUACUCCUACCGGAAGUAGGACUCCCCCCCCCCAAUCCUAGUUGGAAUAGGAUUCCCCGAGGGGGAAAGAGAGAGAGGGGGGCCGACCACCUCUCUUUGUCCUAAUAGGACUAGGCGAGGGGGGAGGCACGCGGCCCACCUUGGGCUUCCCCUUUCUCCUUUCCACUAAAGCCCACUAAGGCCCAUACAGCUCCCGGGGGGUUCCGGUAACCACCCGGUACACCGGUAAAAUACCGAUUUCACCCGAAACACUUCCGAUAUCCAAACAUAGGCUUCCAAUAUAUCAAUCUUUAUGUCUCGACCAUUUCGAGACUCCUUGUCAUGUCCGUGACCACAUCCGGGACUCCGAACUAACUUCGGUACAUCAAAAUGCAUAAACUCAUAAUAACUGUCAUCGUAAUGUUAAGCGUGCGGACCCUACGGUUCGAGAAUAAUGCAGACAUGACUGAGACACAUCUCCGGUUAAUAACCAAUAGCGGGACCUGGAUGCCCAUAUUGGUUCCUACAAUUCUAUGAAGAUCUUUAUCGGCCAGACCGCAUAACAACAUACGUUGUUCCCUUUGUCAUCGGUAUGUUACUUGCCCGAGAUUCGAUCGUCGGUAUCCAAUACCUAGUUCAAUCUCGUUACCGGCAAGUCUCUUUACUCGUUCCGUAAUACAUCAUCUCGCAACUAACUCAUUGGCUGCAAUGCUUGCAAGACUUAUGUGGUGUGCAUUACCGAGAGGGCCCAGAGAUACCACUCCGACAAUCGGAGUGACAAAUCCUAAUCUCGAAAUACGCCAACCCAACAUCUACCUUUGGAGACACAUGUAGAGCUCCUUUAUAAUCACCCAGUUACGUUGUGACGUUUGGUAGCACACAAAGUGUUCCUCCGGUAAACGGGAGUUGCAUAAUCUCAUAGUCAUAGGAACAUGUAUAAGUCAUGAAGAAAGCAAUAGCAACAUACUAAACGAUCGGGUGGUAAGCUAAUGAAAUGGGUCAUGUCAAUCAGAUCAUUCAACUAAUGAUGUGACCUUGUUAAUCAAAUAACAACACCUUGUUCAUGGUUAGGAAACAUAACCAUCUUUGAUUAACGAGCUAGUCAAGUAGAGGCAUACUAGUGACACUAAGUUUGUCUAUGUAUUCACACAUGUAUUAUGUUUCCGGUUAAUACAAUUCUAGCAUGAAUAAUAAACAUUUAUCAUGAUAUAAGGAAAUAAAUAAUAACUUUAUUAGUGCCUCUAGGGCAUAUUUCCUUCAGUCUCCCACUUGCACUAGAGUCAAUAAUCUAGAUUACACAGUAAUGAUUCUAACACCCAUGGAGCCUUGGUGCUGAUCAUGUUUUGCUCGUGGAAGAGGCUUAGUCAACGGGUCUGCAACAUUCAGAUCCGUAUGUAUCUUGCAAAUCUCUAUGUCUCCCACCUGGACCAGAUCCCAGAUGGAAUUGAAGCAUCUCUUGAUGUGUUUGGUCCUCUUGUGAAAUCUGGAUUCCUUUGCCAAGGCAAUUGCACCAGUAUUGUCACAAAAGAUUUUCAUUGGACCCGAUGCACUAGGUAUGACAUCUAGAUCGGAUAUGAACUCCUUCAUCCAGACUCCUUCGUUCGCUGCUUCCGAAGCAGCUAUGUACUCCGCUUCACAUGUAGAUCCCGCUACGACGCUUUGUUUAGAACUGCACCAACUGACAGUUCCACCGUUUAAUGUAAACACGUAUCCGGUUUGCGAUUUAGAAUCGUCCGGAUCAGUGUCAAAGCUUGCAUCAACGUAACCUUUUACGGUGAGCUCUUUGUCACCUUCAUAUAAGAGAAACAUAUCCUUAGUCCUUUUCAGGUAUUUCAGGAUGUUCUUGACCGCUGUCAAGUGAUCCACUCCUGGAUUACUUUGGUACCUCCCUGCUAAACUUAUAGCAAGGCACACAUCAGGUCUGGUACACAGCAUUGCAUACAUGAUAGAGCCUAUGGCUGAAGCAUAGGGAACAUCUUUCAUUUUCUCUCUAUCUUUUGCAGUGGUCGGGCAUUGAGUCUUACUCAACUUCACACCUUGUAACACAGGCAAGAACCCUUUCUUUGCUUGAUCCAUUUUGAACUUCUUCAAAACUUUGUCAAGGUAUGUGCUUUGUGAAAGUCCAAUUAAGCGUCUUGAUCUAUCUCUAUAGAUCUUAAUGCCUAAUAUGUAAGCAGCUUCACCGAGGUCUUUCAUUGAAAAACUUUUAUUCAAGUAUCCCUUUAUGCUAUCCAGAAAUUCUAUAUCAUUUCCAAUCAGUAAUAAUGUUAUCCACAUAUAAUAUCAGAAAUGCUAGAGAGCUCCCACUCACUUUCUUGUAAAUACAGGCUUCUCCAAAAGUUUGUAUAAAACCAAAUGCUUUGAUCACACUAUCAAAGCGUUUAUUCCAACUCCGAGAGGCUUGCACCAGUCCAUAAAUGGAUCGCUGGAGCUUGCACACUUUGUUAGCUCCCUUUGGAUCGACAAAACCUUCUGGUUGUAUCAUAUACAACUCUUCUUCCAGAAAUCCAUUCAGGAAUGCAGUUUUGACAUCCAUAUGCCAAAUUUCAUAAUCAUAAAAUGCGGCAAUUGCUAACAUGAUUCGGACAGACUUAAGCACCGCUACGGGUGAGAAGGUCUCAUCGUAGUCAAUCCCUUGAACUUGUCGAAAACCUUUUGCGACAAGUCGAGCUUUGUAGACAGUAAUAUUACUGUCAGCGUCAGUCUUCUUCUUGAAGAUCCAUUUAUUCUCAAUUGCUUGCCGAUCAUCGGGCAAGUCAACCAAAGUCCAUACUUUGUUCUCAUACAUGGAUCCCAUCUCAGAUUUCAUGGCUUCAAGCCACUUUGAGGAAUCUGGGCUCACCAUCGCUUCUUCAUAGUUCGUAGGUUCAUCAUGAUCUAGCAGCAUGAUUUCCAGAAUAGGAUUACCGUACCACUCUGGUGCGGAUCUCGCUCUGGUUGAUCUACGAGGUUCAGUAGUAUCUUUUUCUGAAGUUUCAUGAUCAUUAUCAUUAACUUCCUCACUUAUUGAUGUAGGUGUCGCAGAAACAGUUUUCUGUGAUGUACUACUUUCCAACAAGGGAGCAGGUACAGUUACCUCGUCAAGUUCUACUUUCCUCCCACUCACUUCUUUCGAGAGAAACUCCUUCUCUAGAAAGGAUCCAUUCUUAGCAAUGAAUGUCUUGCCUUCGGAUCUGUGAUAGAAGGUGUACCCAACAGUCUCCUUUGGGUAUCCUAUGAAGACACAUUUCUCCGAUUUGGGUUCGAGCUUAUCAGGUUGAAGCUUUUUCACAUAAGCAUUGCAGCCCCAAACUUUAAGAAACGACAACUUUGGUUUCUUGCCAAACCACAGUUCAUAAGGCGUCGUCUCAACGGAUUUUGAUGGUGCCCUAUUUAACGUGAAUGCGGCCGUCUCUAAAGCAUAACCCCAAAACGAUAGCGGUAAAUCAGUAAGAGACAUCAUAGAUCGCACCAUAUCUAGUAAAGUACGAUUACGACGUUCGGAAACACCAUUGCGCUAUGGUGUUCCGGGUGGCGUGAGUUGCGAAAAUAUUCCACAAUUUUUCAAAUGUACACCAAACUCGUAACUCAAAUAUUCUCCUCCACAAUCAGAUCGUAGAAACUUUAUUUUCUUGUUAGGAUGAUUUUCAACUUCACUCUGAAAUUCUUUGAACUUUUCAAAUGUUUCAGACUUAUGUUUCAUUAAGUAGAUAUACCCAUAUCUGCUUAAGUCAUCUGUGAAGGUGAGAAAAUAACGAUAUCCGCCACGAGCCUUGAUAUUCAUCAGACCACAUACAUCUGUAUGUAUGAUCUCCAACAAAUCUGUUGCUCUCUCCAUAGUACCGGAGAACGGUGUUUUAGUCAUCUUGCCCAUGAGGCACGGUUCGCAAGUACCAAGCGAUUCAUAAUCAAGUGGUUCCAAAAGCCCAUCAGUAUGGAGAUUCUUCAUGCGUUUUACACCGAUAUAACCUAAACGGCAGUGCCACAAAUAAGCUGCACUAUCAUUAUCAACUCUGCAUCUUUUGGCUUCAACAUUAUGAAUAUGUAUUACUACUAUCGAGAUUCAAUAAGAAUAGACCACUCUUCAAGGGUGCAUGACCAUAAAAGAUAUUACUCAUAUAAAUAGAACAACCAUUAUUCUCUGAUUUAAAUGAAUAACCGUCUCGCAUUAAACAAGUUCCAGAUAUAAUGUUCAUGCUCAACGCUGACACCAAAUAACAAUUAUUUAGGUCUAAUAUUAAUCCCGAAGGUAGAUGUAGAGGUAGCGUGCCGACCGCGAUCACAUCGACUUUGGAACCGUUUCCCACGCGCAUCGUCACCUCGUCCUUCGCCAGUGUUCGCUUAAUCCGUAGUCCUUGUUUCGAGUUGCAAAUAUUAGCAACAGAACCAGUAUCAAAUACCCAGGUGCUACUGCGAGCUCUAGUAAGGUACACAUCAAUAACAUGCAUAUACCUUUGUUCACCUUGCCAUCCUUCUUAUCCACCAAAUACUUGGGGUAGUUCCGCUUCCAGUGACCAGUCUGCUUGCAGUAGAAGCACUCAGUUUCAGGCUUAGGUCCAGACUUGGGUUUCUUCUCCUGAGCAGCAACUUGCUUGCUGUUCUUUUUGAAGUUCCCUUUCUUCUUCCCUUUGCCCUUUUUCUUGAAACUAGUGGUCUUGUUAACCAUCAACACUUGAUGCUCCUUCUUGAUUUCUACCUCCGCAGCUUUCAGCAUUGCGAAGAGCUCAGGAAUAGUCUUGUUUAUCCCUUGUAUAUUAUAGUUCAUCACGAAGCUCUUGUAGCUUGGUGGCAGUGAUUGGAGAAUUAUGUCAAUGACGCAAUCAUCUGGAAGAUUAACUCCCAUCUGAAUCAAGUGAUUAUUAUACCCAGACAUUUUAAGUAUAUGCUCACUGACAGAACUGUUCUCCUCCAUCUUGCAGCUAUAGAACUUAUUGGAGACUUCAUAUCUCUCAAUCCGGGCAUUUGCUUGAAAUAUUAACUUCAACUCCUGGAACAUCUCAUAUGCUCCAUGACGUUCAAAACGUCGUUGAAGUCCCGAUUCUAAGCCUAAAGCAUGGCACACUGAACUAUCAAGUAGUCAUCAGCUUUGCUCUGCCAGACGUUCAUAACAUCUGGUGUUGCUCCAGCAGCAGGCCUGGCACCCAGCGGUGCUUCCAGGACGUAAUUCUUCUGAGCAGCAAUCAGGAUAAUCCUCAAGUUACAGACCCAGUACGUGUAAUUGCUACCAUCAUCUUUCAACUUUGCUUUCUCAAGGAACGCAUUAAAAUUCAACGGAACAACAACACGAGCCACCUAUCUACAAUCAACAUAAACAAGCAAGAUACUAUCAGGUACUAGUUCAUGAUAAGUUUAAGUUCAAUUAAUCAAAUUACUUAAGAACUCCCACUUAGAUAGACAUUCCUCUAAUCCUCUAAGUGAUCACGUGAUCCAAAUCAACUAAACCAUAACCGAUCAUCACGUGAGAUGGAGUAGUUUUCAAUGGUGAACAUCGUUAUGUUGAUCAUAUCUACUAUAUGAUUCACGCUCGACCUUUCGGUCUCUGUGUUCCAAGGCCAUAUCUGCAUAUGCUAGGCUCGUCAAGUUUAACCUGAGUAUUCCGCGUGUGCAAAACUGGCUUGCACCCACUGUAGAUGGACGUAGAGCUUAUCACACCCGAUCAUCACGUGGUGUCUGGGCACGACGAACUUUGGCAAUGGUGCAUACUCAGGGAGAAUACUUCUUGAUAAUUUAGUGAGAGAUCAUCUUAUAAUUCUACUGUCAAUCAAAGCAAGAUAAGAUGCAUAAAAAGAUAAACAUCACAUGCAAUCAAUAUAAGUGAUAUGAUAUGGCCAUCAUCAUCUUGUGCUUGUGAUCUCCAUCUCCGGAGCACUGUCAUGAUCACCAUCGUCACCGGCGCGACACCUUGAUCUCCAUCGUAGCAUCGUUGUCGUCUCGCCAAUCUUAUGCUUCCACGACUAUCGCUACCGUUUAGUGAUAAAGUAAAGCAUUACAUCGCGAUUGCAUUGCAUACAAUAAAGCGACAACCAUAUGGCUCCUGCCAGUUGCCGAUAACUUGGUUACAAAACAUGAUCAUCUCAUACAAUAAAAUUCAUCAUCAUGCCUUGACCAUAUCACAUCACAACAUGCCCUGCAAAAAUAAGUUAGACGUCCUCUACUUUGUUGUUGCAAGUUUUACGUGGCUACUACGGGCUUAAGCAAGAACCAAUCUCACCUACGCAUCAAAACCACAACGAUAGUUUGUCAAAUAGACUCCGUUUUAACCUUCGCAAGGACCGGGCGUAGCCACACUUGGUUCAACUAAAGUUGGAGAGACUGUCGCCCGCAAGCCACCUAUGUGCAAAGCACGUCGGGAGAACCGGUCUCGCGUAAGCGUACGCGUAAUGUCGGUCCGGGUCGUCUCGUCCAACAAUACCGCCGAACCAAAGUAUGACAUGCUGGUAGGCAGUAUGACUUAUAUCGCCCACAACUUACUUGUGUUCUACUCGUGCAUACAACAUCAAACCAUAAACCUAGGCUCGGAUGCCACUAUUGGGGAACGUAGUAAUUUCAAAAAGUUUCCUACGCACACGCAAGAUCAUGGUGAUGCAUAGCAACGAGAGGGGAGAGUGUUGUCUACGUACCCACGCAGACCGACUGCGGAAGCGUUGACGCAACGUAGAGGAAGUAGUCGUACAUCUUCCCGAUCCGACCGAUCCAAGCACCGUUACUCCGGCACCUCCGAGUUCUUAGCACACGUACAGCUCGAUGACGAUCCCCGGGCUCCGAUCCAGCAAAGCGUCGGGGAGGAGUUCCGUCAGCACGACGGCAUGGUGACGAUCUUGAUGUUCUACCGUCACAGGGCUUCGCCUAAGCACUGCUACAAUAUAAUCGAGGUGGAAUAUGGUGGCAGGGGGCACCGCACACGGCUAAGGAACGAUCUCAAUGAUCAACUUGUGUGUCUAGGGGUGCCCCCUGCCCCCGUAUAUAAAGGAUCCAAGGGGGAGGGGGCGGCCGGCCAGGAGAAGGGCGCAGGAGGAGUCCUACUCCUACCGNNNNNNNNNNNNNNNNNNNNNNNNNNNNNNNNNNNNNNNNNNNNNNNNNNNNNNNNNNNNNNNNNNNNNNNNNNNNNNNNNNNNNNNNNNNNNNNNNNNNNNNNNNNNNNNNNNNNNNNNNNNNNNNNNNGUUGGAAUAGGAUUCCCCGAGGGGGAAAGAGAGAGAGGGGGGCCGGCCACCUCUCCUUGUCCUAAUAGGACUAGGGGAGGGGGGAGGCGCGCGGCCCACCUUGGGAUGCCCGUUUCUCCUUUCCACUAAAGCCCACUAAGGCCCAUACAGCUCCCGGGGGGUUCCGGUAACCUCCCGGUACUCCGGUAAAAUACCGAUUUCACCCGGAACACUUCCGAUAUCCAAACAUAGGCUUCCAAUAUAUCAAUCUUUAUGUCUCGACCAUUUCGAGACUCCUUGUCAUGUCCGUGAUCACAUCCGGGACUCCGAACUAACUUCGGUACAUCAAAAUGCAUAAACUCAUAAUAACUGUCAUCGUAACGUUAAGCGUGCGGACCCUACGGUUCGAGAAUAAUGCAGACAUGACUGAGACACAUCUCCGGUCAAUAACCAAUAGCGGGACCUGGAUGCCCAUAUUGGUUCCUACAUAUUCUACGAAGAUCUUUAUCGGUCAGACUGCAUAACAACAUACGUUGUUCCCUUUGUCAUCGGUAUGUUACUUGCCCGAGAUUCGAUCGUCGGUAUCCAAUACCUAGUUCAAUCUCGUUACCGGCAAGUCUCUUUACUCGUUCCGUAAUACAUCAUCUCGCAACUAACUCAUUGGCUGCAAUGCUUGCAAGGCUUAUGUGAUGUGCAUUACCGAGAGGGCCCAAAGAUACCUCUCCGACAAUCGGAGUGACAAAUCCUAAUCUCGAAAUACGCCAACCCAACAUCUACCUUUGGAGACACCUGUAGAGCUCCUUUAUAAUCACCCAGUUACGUUGUGACGUUUGGUAGCACACAAAGUGUUCCUUCGGUAAACGGGAGUUGCAUAAUCUCAUAGUCAUAGGAACAUGUAUAAGUCAUGAAGAAAGCAAUAGGAACAUACUAAACGAUCGGGUGCUAAGCUAAUGAAAUGGGUCAUGUCAAUCAGAUCAUUCAACUAAUGAUGUGACCUCGUUAAUCAAAUAACAACACCUUGUUCAUGGUUAGGAAACAUAACCAUCUUUGAUUAACGAGCUAGUCAAGUAGAGGCAUACUAGUGACACUAAGUUUGUCUAUGUAUUCACACAUGUAUUAUGUUUCCGGUUAAUACAAUUCUAGCAUGAAUAAUAAACAUUUAUCAUGAUAUAAGGAAAUAAAUAAUAACUUUAUUAUUGCCUCUAGGGCAUAUUUCCUUCACGUAGAUGGUGUGCCAUUACUAACAUUCCCCCUCUAACUGGAUACCCCUUCGCCCGAUCCCCCCUUUCCUCUCCCUCGCCAGACCCCCCUUGCCUCCCCGCGCCCGCUCUACACCCGCUCCGUCUCCCCCACGCCACCGCCACCACGCCCCCGCGCCCCCCACCACUGCAUUCGCUGCACCACCGACGACCGCACGGGGUGCAGGACGACGACGCCGCCGACCCGCGAAGCACGUGGUCGCCGGCCUCCCCACGACCAACCGAGGCGCCCAGGAGGACCGCCGACGUCUUCCUCUUCGACUACGAGGACCCGGACGAGCUCGGACGCCCUCGAGCCAUCCCUUCAACGCCGCCGCCGCCACCGACCCCGACCCCGACCCCUCCGGCGACCGGCUGCGCCCGCCUAGGUACCUCUCCUCCUUCCUCCUUCCUCCCUCUCCACCCUUCCUCCCCAUUCCCUCCCUCCCUCCCCUCGACCGUUUGGAUUGGUAAUGGGGACUGGACUGCGUUCAUGAGUUGGCAGAAAGGAGCGAGAUCAUUCUGCAGUUUAUUCAGUUCUAACCGAAUAAAUGCCUAACCUCACACGUUCCUGCUCAUUCUAGCCUUCCAGAUGACCACUUACUAGCUAGAGUAGAUAGAUUAUCAGCCUAGGUACACUUCGCUAACCCAUGCAUCGUUCGUUUCGUCUUGAGCUAAUAAGCAAGUCCAACAACAAACACACAUCUAGGUACACCUAAGUUUUUCUUGACGAACACACCAAGUAAGUCCAACAACGAACACACCUAGGUACAGUGGCGGAGCUUGAAAGAAAUCUUAGGAGGGGCAAACAUUUUUUCUUCCCGAAUAUGGAAUUAUACCACUACGACAAAUUAGACAUUGAAAACUAUUGAGAAACUUCGAUAAGUAUAUUAAUCACAUUUCUAACGCUGAUUAUAUAUAUGAAAGCUAGUCCAUGAAAAAAUACCAAAAUAUUAUUUAACCAUGGAGUAUUGAGUUGAGUUCCCAGAGAAUCCUCUUGGCUUUUGGCUAUGGAUUGUAAUCCUAUUCACUAAUCAAUAAAACACUCAAUCUUCCCGCAAAAAAAUCAGCUCUUCGUUUCUUUGUCCUUAGUACAAAAUCUAUGACCUAUUCAAAACUUUCCCCAAGAAAUUAAGAUGCAAGAAUCUAUACAAGGAAGAAAUUUCCAGCGGGGAGUGGGUGGGCAAACUGCUCUUGCUUGCUGCUCACUAGCUCACUGCGUGCGGCGCCGAUCUCAGCUCUAACCUCUUCGCCACCUCUGGAUGGACGCCUUGCUAGCUGCCCGCCAACCCACACGCAGGCACGCUGAUCAGUGCCUCACCUCUACCUCUACGCAGGCGCUCACCCAUGCUCAUUCAACACAAGAUGGCAAGAGGAAAGAAUAGAAGAUGAUAGAAAUUAGAGUUGGUCGCUGGCUGCACUAGGUCGGAGCUAGUUUGUCUCCGUAAGGAGAUGUUAAAAGGGCCGUACAGGCUGGUAUGUGCAGUGCCGCCUCAUUACUAUGAUGGGGUAUUAAAAACGUUUCAUUUUUGCUGGGGGGGGGGGGGCGACCGCCCAGGUUCGCCCCCCAGAAGCUCCGCCGUUGCCUAGGUACACCAAGUUUGCAUGGGUGCACCAUCUUUUCAUUUAGACGAAAUAUAUACUUCCUCUAUUCAGAAACACUUAUCGCAAAAAUAAUAAAAACUGCAAAACAUUUAUGAAUAGUUCAUCUGUUUUCUUUGGCCAGUUGUGUAGAUAGAAUGCUAACUAAGUUGGGCCUGUUUGAUAAGUUAUAUAACUGCAGUACCUAUUAUUGCUACCGAUAUCAUUGGCUCAUUGCUGCCUUUGUGCAACGCAGAACUGUUAAGAGUGAUUUGGAGGAUUCAAGAUUCUGUGAAGCUCUUUUGACAUUUAAAGCUCAGAACUGAAGGUACUUAACAAACUCAAAAGCAUUUAGUCCAGACCUUGCAAUUUCUAUGUUUUUUUUUGUAUUGCUAGAUGAAUGGUAACAUCGUUUGACAGGUGAAUGUAGUUUGGUCCUACUUUCCUAAUUAAAUAGCACAUGUUUUGUUGAACAUCUAGAGAUUGUUGACAUGGAUAGACAUGCUGCCGAUUGUCAUAAGUACAUUAAAAAAACAAGUAUAAGACCAACAUUCAUGAUUUUUUUCAGCUAAAACUACUGAUGAUUUUUUGUUGGGUGACCUAUUAGAUCUGGAAUGGAAGCUCACAUAAGUUGAGCUGAUUUUUGUCCAUAUGAAAGCAGAGGACCAUAUGGUCUGUGGCCUUUUCAUCCAUAUGAAAGUAGAGGCACAUUGUGGUGCUAGUUUGCCGGGUUUUGUCUCCGACCAUCGUGUCGUGAUGAUUUUGCAGGUACCCUGAGAGGCCCUUGAGUUUGCCGGAAUGUCGAUUAACUUCCGUUCCGGCAAAUUCGGGUACUCCAUAUGUCCUAUUUUCAACAAAGGUCAUGCUGAAUUUUUCCGUGAAUUUUAGCAUGACUUUGCUAAAAAUAGGACAUAUGGGGUACUUGCGACUAAUGCAUAGGCCGGGGUAUCUUAGUACUUAAUUAAGUAGAAUCAACUGCCUCUUGUGUUAUACAUAUUCUAUUUGGAUGACCCUGCUAACCCUUGACCAUAAAUACUUGAGAUGGAUGUAGCAGGCUUAAAGAAAGAAAUGUUUUUAGGCCAACUCCACUGGGCCUAGCUGAAAAUGCACAAGUGUGCAUGACUAACAAUAUUCUAUUGUAAAGCUAAACAGGAAAGAGGAACCACUCAUCCUAACCAUUUGCUCUCAAAAUUACCACUUCACUUCUUACUACUGAAAAUCUUAGACCAUCUCCAUUCACCAAUAGCUCAAACCAGUUCGAAGGGUGUGUUUUCACCACACUGUGGAUUAUCUUAUUGGACCCAACACAAGGGAUGACGUAGUUUUGAAUUAUGAACGUAGGAUAUGUCGUCAUCGGACGAUGAAAGUCUCCCGGGGAAGUGCGGCUGGUGCCACGACGAUCGAGGUCUGUGCGACAUGCCUCACCUGGACGAUGAUCGACGCUUCAACAUUAAGCUUGAGGAGACAUUCGAAGUUGAAACGGUACACAAUGACUGACAAGUGUUAUUUUCAUAAUUAAGCAUGACUUCAACUAUUUCAAUGUGUAAUUUUCAUCUUUUACAAUUCGAGUGUAGCUUAUCCCAUGCCAUGCAAGACGCUAUGUCUUGGAGAGGAUGGAUUUUCAAGACCAUGAAAUUUCCGAAACAAAGAAAAUUCACCUAAGGACUCAUCACGAUGUGGAUUUUGAAGUAAAUCUGUAUAAUUCUGGGAGCGUACCCCAUUUUGGUUGCAAAAAUUGGGAAGCAUUUUGCAAGAUGUAUGGUUUUGAUGAGGGUAUGAUUGUCACCAUGGAUCUUGGUGAUCCUGACAUCGACCAAGACAAUAUGGACAUUUGGGUCCUUGUUGAUACGCCUCCAGUUCUACCGCUAUGUGAGUUUCUCAAACAUAGUUAAUUAUUAACUAAUUUAUAUUGUUUAUUUCAAAAUAGUUGACAACUUAUUUCCAUUGACAGCUUAUUUUUAUUGUUCAAAGAAUGCAUGGGAGAUGGUAGACAAAACCCACUACACCGAUGGCUCCGAAUUAACAACUUACAAGGAGAAAAAUCAUCUGGUCGGAUUUUGUACUGACAUUGAGAAUUACAAUAUCUACAAUCAAACUCCUCAACAUUAUGGUCAAUACAUGCCACUAGUGCAUGUGUUCAACUACGGUAACUACCAUGGAGAUACCCUGGUAAGAUUUUUUACUAUUACGACAUCCGUGCAUGUUUUGCAUACUUCUAAAACUAGUACAUCAUUGCUAAAUAUGAAGUUAUUACUAUAUUUUUCAACAGAUAAUUCCAGAGAAUUGCGUGCCUUAUUUGAUGUAUCAGAAAGGUAGUCUUAAUGUUUUGAACAUACAGCCAGGUCAUCCUACGAAUCUCAACUGUCCAUACGAGAUUUCUAAAAAAAGUGGAGACAUGAAAAUCAAAGGAUGGAAAAAUGUAUGGACAGUCGUAAGGAGGUUCUUAGAAGCAAAAAGAAGCGAAGCGCAAGAAUUGGAGACAGGAUGAUCUUCAUUCUCCAUAAUGGAGAGUCAGGGUCUAUAUUGUUUUAUGCUAUUUUACCUUAAAUAGGGUAUUUAGGUCCUGCCUAAUACUGAUGAUCAUGUGCUAAGAACAAUUAAGUAGGGUUGGUUCGAUGACUAUCAAGAUGAUGAUCGUAUGACUUGUUAUUAAUAACGAGUAGAAGUUGUAUGAUGAUGAUUAGUAGGACUUGUUAGGAUUAGUAUUACUUCCGACAAACUCGCUACUCGCGGUCUCGAGACUUGUAAUGUUCUAUCUUUGUUCGGUCUUUUGAAUUCGGAGACUCAUAUGAUGAAUUGUAUUUGGAGACUAAUCUUCUAUUGUAUUCGAUGAAUCUGCUGUUGCUGUGUGGUGCUAGCUAUAUUCUGUCCAAUAAUAUAUUUUGUAACCUGUGAAAAUAUCAGAAAAGAAAAAAAAUCCCUAAUAUUCAUACUAGUGGCGCACCACCACAUAGUGCGCCACUAGUAGCCAGAGCACACUAAUGGCGCAUCAUCCACCAGUGCGUCAUUAGUAUGCCAAAGCACAUGGGUAAAUAUGGCCCCCUGGGAGGUAUACUAAUGGCGCACCGUGGGCUAUACUAAUGGCGCACUACAGGUGCGCCACUAAUAGCACGCCAUUAGUAGGCAAAACAGGUGCGUCACUAGUAGACCUUUUCCUAGUAGUGGUAGAAGGUAUGCCAAAUGCUUGCAUGUGCUUCUCUAUUGAGUACAAAGCUUUCGUCACAAAACCACAGGAAAGUAUGAAUUGAGGCAAAUUUUCCUUUGAAGUGCUAGCAAAUCUUUGCUCAGAUAUGUUGGAAACUGUCAUUCCAAUUAUUUAUAACAGCCAAUAAACAUCCAUAGAUUAGACAAAGAAAUUAAUAGACACUCUGAACAAUUGGACGUAGACAUGGUUCAACUAGCAAUACGCUCUUGUGUUAGACUUACACAAUUAUGAAAAAAAAUUGUACCUCUGCCACUACUUCUAGGUCCCAUUGCAAGUGCAGUUAUGAGAUACAAACCGCCUGCUCUUCAACGUGCUAAAUGCCUGCUCAUCAUUGCUGAUUGAAAAGCAUGUAAUCCAAAAAUCCACCAACCUCAUGCAUGUAGGACGAUCGGGAUGGCUGGCGAGCGCAGAGUGACGUGGUGUGAUGAGGACGAUCGCGACGGCUGGCCGACAGGCACACUGGGAUGGGGCGCGUCGAUCGCGGUAGGCUGGCGGCACAGGACUGCGAUCUAGUGACUUGCCUCUGUAGCACCCUCUCAUCUGCCCUCUAAUGCAGAUCCAAUGCUUUUACAAUGCGAUCCAGUUUACAUUGGCCCAACUGAAGACAAGCCACAACAGCUAAAGAAAAGCACAAGCAUAGAAACACAUCCACAUGGCACUUCAACAAAUUUGUUUUUUUUUUAAUUUUCAAGNNNNNNNNNNNNNNNNNNNNNNNNNNNNNNNNNNNNNNNNNNNNNNNNNNNNNNNNNNNNNNNNNNNNNNNNNNNNNNNNNNNNNNNNNNNNNNNNNNNNNNNNNNNNNNNNNNNNNNNNNNNNNNNNNNNNNNNNNNNNNNNNNNNNNNNNNNNNNNNNNNNNNNNNNNNNNNNNNNNNNNNNNNNNNNNNNNNNNNNNNNNNNNNNNNNNNNNNNNNNNNNNNNNNNNNNNNNNNNNNNNNNNNNNNNNNNNNNNNNNNNNNNNNNNNNNNNNNNNNNNNNNNNNNNNNNNNNNNNNNNNNNNNNNNNNAGUACAGAGAUGCAUAGAUGUACAAAGUGAAGGAGGGAGGGGGGGGGGGUGGUGGUGGUGGUCAAAACCACACAACCACUCAACCCCUAAGAGCAGCUAGCCACACAUCAAUAUGAGCCCGGUCACCGGGGGGCAGCCUCGCCCGCCAGAGAACGGCAUCGUCACGGCAGGCUUUGAGGGUGACUGCAAGGGACUGCCGGUCAUUGCGGAAGACGACCGCAUUCCAACGUUUCCAGAGCCUCCAGCAACAAAGGAGGAUGAAGGCAGCGGGCGACGCCCCCCCACAGCGGGAGACGCAUCUAGGCAGUGGAUGGACUCCACCGUUCUCCCAUCCGUCGAUAUGCCGAGGCAUUGCCAGAACUGCGCCGCAAAGGGGCACCCGAAGAUGAGGUGGUUUGCAGUUUCAAGCGCGGCCGAGCAGCAGGGACACCCAGCCUCCACCACCGCCAGGAUGGUUUUCCGCAGGAGCACAUCCCUCGUAUGGAUGCGAGCCAGGGACAGUAGCCAACCGAAGAACGCAACGCGCGAUGGAGCCCGGGACGACCAAAGGAAGGGCGCCGGCGACCACGUGGUCCCCCCGAAGCGGGCAAGGGUGUAAACCCCCCGCGACGGGAGUUUCCCCUUCGGUCCCGAGCAAAGGACAGCCACCCUGGAGUCAGGACCAUCCAGGGGCGGCACCUCCUCCAUGAGACGCUGCACGGAGGCGCACUCACGCACCGCCAAGGGGGUGAGCCGGGGAACGAGAAGGGCACGGACGCCGCUGUGGCGGGCCUCCCAAACCGACACCUCCCGGCGAAGUGCAUGCGAGAACAAGGCGGGGAAGGCCACGAUGAGCGCCCCGCACGGAAGCCACCGAUCAUGCCAGAACAACGUCCGUCCGCCGCCCCCACUUCCACCCUUGUAAGGGCCCGGUAGGUCGGCAACAGCUCGAGAAGGGACUUCCAGUGCUCGCCCGGGAGGGGGGGGGUCGUCCGGUAGCCAGGAGAGAUCCUCCUUCCAUUAGGCCCCAGACCCAAUAGGCCCACCGAGACGGCGCCCGAGAGUGCAGCCUGUGAAGCAGCUUGAGCAGGAGGCAGUCGUUCUGAUCCCGGAGAGACCGGACGCCGAGUCCUCCCUCGGCCUUGGAGCGGCAGACACGCUCCCAGGCGACCAGGCACUGAGCUACCGAGGCCCGGUCCGCCACGUUCCAGAGAAACGCCCGGCGCAGCGCAUCCAGGCGAUCCAGAACCGCCCGCGGAAGGCGCAUGGCCGCCAUGCCGUAAGUGGGGAUGGAGUCGAUGACGACGUUGAUCAACACCAACUUGCCAGCCGGCGAGAGCAGCCGCGCUCGCCACCCAGCCAGGUAACGGUCUACCUUAGCGAGCAUGGGGGCGAAGUCGUCGAGCUUGAGCUUGUCGGACGAGAGAGGCAGGCCAAGGUACGAUUGGGGGAAGGCCCCCACAGUGCACUCGAAGGACGCCAGGACAGAGUCGAGGACCCCGCGCUCGACGUUCAUCGGUACAAGCGUGCUCUUGGAGAAGGUUAUGAUGAGGCCGGUAGCCGCCGCGAAGAGGUCGAGGAUGACCCGAAGCCGCGCAGCGGCCGCGGAAUCAGCACGCAUGAUGAUCAGCGUGUCAUCCGCAUACUGGAGGACCACCGCCGGCGCCCCACCCACCAGAGGGUGGCAGAGAGCCCCGUCGCUCCUGAUCAUGCGCUAGAGGACGUCCGCGACCAGGAGGAACAGGUAAGGGGAGAUGGGAUCCCCCUGGCGCAGCCCGUUCCGGACCGCGAACCAGCGCCCCGACACGCCGUUGAGAAGGACCGCGGCCUUAGUGGAACGGAGGAUGAUGUCCAUCCAGUCACACCAGAGAGCCGGGAACCCCCGGACCUCCAUGAUUCGGCGAAGGCUCGGCCAUGCGAUGGAGUCGAACGCCUUGGCGAAAUCCAGCUUGAAGACAAGCGUGGGAGCCCCCCGCCAGUGGCAACACCGCACCAACUCAGCCGCAUACACAAAGUUCUACGAGAUGCUGCGCCCAGACAGGAACCCUGUCUGGUCAUCAUCGAUGAUGGCUCCGAUCUGCGAUUGAAGCCGAGAGGUCAGCCCCCGGCAGAGGAUUUUCACAUCACCGUUCUGAAGCGAAACGGGACGGAAAUCGCCGGGGCCCGGCACACCAUCCUUCUUCGGGAGCAGGGCAAUGAGAGCACGGUUGAUCCCGUCGAGAGACCGGACGCCAGAAACAACAACGAAAUGACACCAGAAACAACAACUACAGAAAAGCACAAACUGGACAAAUUUGUAGCACGGAACAUUGAAAAUGUGUAGCAUUAACAUAUAAAUUUUGAUCCUUCAAAUUCUACAAAUGAAAAAUCGAACAGCUACAGAACAAAUUUGUAGCAAGGUACAGCUGAACAAAUUUGUAGCACUGAACACUGGAUAUAUUAGGCAAUUAACUACCAGUCAAUCCAAAUAAUGAACUGGAUGCACACAUAUGCUAUAAGAACCAGUACAGGUCAAUUCCUAGCAAUAUCAGUACAUGUCAAUUUCCAUGCUACUUGUCACUGAAAUUCAAAAGCAUCCACGGUAAGGUCAAUUCUUUGCAUUAUCAGUCAAUCCAAUCCAAUAUAAUCCACUAUUUGUAUAUAUGCUAUAAGAACCAGCGGUGACGCUCCACCAAGAACCACACAAACAGCCGGCGACGAGGAUACCGGGUUUGCCGGUGGGAGGAGAUGGAAUUGGGGUAGGGUUGCCUCACUCACAUGGUGGCUAGCGUGCCGGCGUUGGGGAGAGGCGGGGAAUGCAGAUUUUGUGAGCUUAUGCACCCGGGCCUUACUAUCCUAGCACUCUAAUGUUGCUUUGAGAUCUGUGUUACACAACUAUCUUAUUACAUGGAAUUUUCUCUUUUUUGUUCCUCUCAUAUAAAACAUGUCUUGAACUUCAAACUUUGCAGUACAACAUAACUUUGUAACUAGAAUGUGAGAUAAAACUUUUAGAUUUUUUUGUCCGACAUAAAUAUGAAAAAUAAGAUUUUUUAAUCAAACAAAUCUCAUUUUGUAUAUUUAUGUUGGACCAAAAAAUCUGUAAGUUUUAUCCCACAUUCUACAUAGAAAGCUUUGUUGUGCUGCAAAGUUGAAGUGCAAAUACAUGUUCUAUAUGAAAGAAACAAAAAAGAGAAAAUUAUUUGCACAAAUCGUGAUGCAGGAAUGAGUGGUUGGAUAAGGAGUAUCCGCAUGCAUAGGCUCUAAAACAUGUUUUCAGAGAGGCGGGCGUGUCCGGGUGGCGAAAGCAAGGAGCUUGGUCGGGGCGGCGAUCCUCCUUCAUCUGCGGCCGCGUGAGGAGCUCGGUCCAGGAAGUGUGGUUCACCUCGUGAUGUGCGGCGGCGUGAGGAGCUUGGUCUGGGCGGCGGUCCUCCUCGAUCUACGGCGGUGAUCCUGCCCGGCCCGUAACUGCGCUUCACAGCAGCAGCUUUCCGGUCCGUCAGGGCGCUCCUCCCUGGUCCUCACGGCGACGUCGCUCGGCUGCUCGGAACCGGCCCUUCGUGGCGAAGAGCAGGGACGCUCGCGCCAAGCCUGUCCUUUUCCUUUAGAUGUUUUUUGAAGAAAAUGAUUGCAGCGGACCAAAGGCUUCCUUGAACUUCAUGAGCGAUCAUGUGUGGUCCUUGACGUGAUUUUUUGCGUUUAGAGGCAAUGCAGUUUCCUAUUUUUCAGGGAUUGAUUAGCAUCUGUCUUUUUAUGAAACGAAUCGAUUUUUGGACGUGACGUUCCGUGCAGUUCGGUGCUAGGCUCCUGGUCGAGAUCGUCCGGAACGGAUCGAGGUUUUGGACGUGGCGUUCAGAUUUUGUUUUCGGUUUUCUUCUCAUAUUGAGAAGGUUCUUUCCAAACUAUUACAUAGAUCUAUUUUUGAAUCUCAGCCAUUAAUUUUUCACAUUAACACAAGAUCAAUGGAUAUAAAAGGAUGACUUAUGAAGAACUAUGAAAGCCUUCAUCUUUUAAUAUUAGGUAAAGAUAAAGAUAAAGAUUACCUUCUUUUUCUUCUUCAAAUAUAACACUAACCAACUAGAGCCUAUUUUUUUUCAAGUUUUCGUUUGUCCGGUUCUUCUUUUGUUUUUCUCAAUUUUCUUUUCUUCUGAAAAAUUCAUGAACUUUUCCUUCAAUUCAUGAACAUUUUAUUAAAUUCAUGAAUUUUGUUUUCAAAUCCACAAACUCUUUUCAAUUUUUUACAAAGCCUGCGAUUUUUUUUCAAAAUUAAUGAACUUUUUCAGAUCAAUAAACGCUUGGGCCGACCCUGCUAUUUCUUUUCAAAACUAUGAAUCAUUUUCAAAUCCGCAUCAACCUAGCAGUCGGGUCAGGUGAGGUUUGGCGGGUCAAGCUCUCCCAGAUCCAUACCCGAAUAUUUAACGUGUGUACAGUCUGCACACGAUCUCAGAAGGAGACCAGUGCUCUAAGCGGAUGGGCGAUCCGAUCCUGUUAGAAUUCAAUCCCAGGCAUAUCGUUCAUAAUCUAUAAAGACCAAGCAAUCACACAAACACGACAUCAAAUUUGUUAACGAGGUUUACUGAUAUGGCUACAUCCCGGGGUCUAACUACGGGCGCUCCUUCCUAUAACACCGCUAUAAUAUGGCACACCGGCCGUCCGGGCACCGGCACACGUCAUCGGCUCCCCCGCAUGCCUGUACUAUUAUGUUGGCAUAGGUUACAUCGUGUGUCUACCCCUACUAUAAGAGGCAUAGGAUACUACUAGGACACGACUCCAUAUCCAUCUAAACACAAUACUACUCAGAGUCCAACUGUAACCUACCUUGUAUACAAUAUUCAACAUAACUCUAACAAACUCCACAUUGACGAAUAUUAAUUCUCCACCACCUUGAAUUUGUUCAUGCGUCAAACUUCCAUGUACAUUGGACUUGAGUUUAUCGCGUGAGUACCGCUGCUACUCCAAAGACUCCAUGUGACUCCACCUGCAAUUUAUAGUCCCUUCUUUUCUUGACCACAGUCAACACUCGAGCAAAAUUAAGUUCCUUGUUACUCUAGUUUGUGCUCCCAACUUCCAGAGUAUCCAUGCAACGCCAUUGCGCACUGAUCACUGACUUGCGUGAAAGUGAACAACUCACAUAUUGGGUGUCACACAUAAGAGUUACCUGAACUCAACAUCACCGCUCCUUUCUUGACCGUCUGUCUGAAACUUGAAAGAAUUUCACCGUUCCUUGUAGUCAUCCCGAUCAAAUUCGUAGUUGUCUCACCACAUGUAUGACCACCAGAGCCCUGGCAUGUCUUCAUGUCCCAUGCAAACCACAUGCCUCGUCGCUAUUACCGCGUCGAGCCUCCACUGUCCCGGUCGAGUCUCAAGGGUCGCGAACCCACACCACUCAACUCCCACUGCAAAGUACCACCUGUAAAAAUAUGCCCUAGAGCAAUAAUAAAGUUGUUAUUUAUAUUUCCUUAUAUCAUGAUAAAUGUUUAUUAUUCAUGUUAGAAUUGUAUUAACCGAAAACUUACUACAUGUGUGAAUACAUAGACAAACAGAGUGUCACUAGUAUGCCUCUACUUGACUAGCUCGUUGAUCAAAGAUGGUUAAGUUUCCUAGCCAUGGACAAAGAGUUUUCAUUUGAUAAACGGGAUCAAAUCAUUAGAGAAUGAUGUGAUCGACUUGACCCAUCCAUUAUCUUAGCACGAUGAUCGUUUAGUUUGUUGCUAUUGCUUUCUCCAUAACUUAUACAUGUUCCUAUGACUAUGAGAUUAUGCAACUCCCGAAUACCGGAGGAACACUUAGUGUGCUAUCAAACGUCACAACGUAACUGGGUGACUAUAAAGAUGCUCUACAGGUGUCUCCGAUGGUGUUUGUUGAGUUGGCAUAGAUCAAGAUUAGGAUUUGUCACUCCGUGUAUCGGAGAGGUAUCUCUGGGCCCUCUCGGUAAUGCACAUCACUAUAAGCCUUGCAAGCAAUGUAACUAAUGGGUUAGUUACAUGAUGUAGCAUUACAGAACGAGCAAAGAGACUUGCCGGUAAUGAGAUUGAACUAGGUAUUGAAAUACCGACGAUCGAAUCUCGGGUAAGUAACAUACCGAUGACAAAGGGAACAACGUAUGUUGUUAUGCGGUUUGACCGAUAAAGAUCUUCGUAGAAUAUGUAGGAACCAAUAUGAGCAUCAAGGUUCCGCUAUUGGUUAUUGACCGGAGAUGAGUCUCGGUCAUGUCUACAUAGUUCUCGAACCCAUAGGGUCCACACGCUUAACGUUCGAUGACGAUCAGUAUUAUUAGUUUGUGUGUUCUGAUGUACCGAAGGUAGUUAAUUUGGAAUCCUGGAUGUGAUCACGGACAUGACGAGGUGUCUCGAAAUGGUCGAGACAUAAAGAUUGAUAUAUUGGACGGCUAUAUUCGGACACCGGAAGUGUUCCGGGUGGUUUCGGAUAAAACCGGAGUGCCGGAGGGUUACCGAACCCCUCGGGGGAACUAAUGGGCCUAGAUGGGCCUGAUACAUCCAUUUUGCAUCAUGCUUUUAUAUCGAUAUUUAUUGCAUUAUAGGCUGUUAUUACACAUUAUGUCACAAUACUUAUGCAUAUUCUCUCUUAUUUUACAAGGUUUACAUGAAGAGGAGGAAUGCCGGCACCCGGAAUUCUGGGCUGGAAAAGGAGCAAAUAUUAGAGACCUGUUCUGCACAUCUCCAAAAGUCCUGAAACUCCACGGGAGCACUUUUCAGACUAUAUAAAAAAUAUUGGGCGCAAGAAGUACCAGAGGGGGGCCACACCCUGGCCACAAGGGUAGAGGGCGCGCCCUACCCCCUGGGCGCGCCCCCUGCCUCGUGGGCUCCCUGAUGGCCCUCCGAUGCCCAUCUUCUGCUAUAUGAGGUCUUUUGUCCGAGAAAAAAAAUCAUAAGCAAGCUUUCGGGACGGGACUCCGCCGCCACGAGGCGGAACCUUGGCAGAACCAAUCUAGGGCUCUGGCAGAGCUGUUCUGCCGGGGACAGUUCCCUCCGGGAGGGGGAAAUCAUCACCAUUGUCAUCACCAACGAUCCUCUCAUCGGGAGGGGGUCAAUCUCCAUCAACAUAUUCACCAGCAACAUCUCAUCUCAAAUCCUAGUUCAUCUCUUGUAUCCAAUCUUUGUAUCCAAACCUCAGAUUGGUACCUGUGGGUUGCUAGUAGUGUUGAUUACUCCUUGUAGUUGAUGCUAGUUGGUUUACUUGGUGGAAGAUCAUAUGUUCAGACCCAUUAUGCACAUUAAUACCCCUCUUAUUAUGAACAUGAAUAUGCUUUGUGAUUAGUUACAUUUGUUCCUGAGGACAUGGGAGAAGUCUUGCUAUUAGUAGUCAUGUGAAUUUGGUAUUCGUUCGAUACUUUGAUGAGAUGUAUGUUGUCAUCCCUCUAGUGGUGUCAUGUGAACGUCGACUACAUGACACUUCACCAUUGUUUGGGCCUAGAGGGAGGCAUUGGGAAGUAAUAAGUAGAUGAUGGGUUGCUAGAGUGACAGAAGCUUAAACCCUAGUUUAUGCGUUGCUUCGUAAGGGGCUGAUUUGGAUCCAUAUGUUUCAUGCUAUGGUUAGGUUUACCUUAAUACUUCUGUUGUAGUUGCAGAUGCUUGCAAUGGGGGUUAAUCAUAAGUGGGAUGCUUGUCCAAGUAAGGACAGCACCCAAGCACCGGUUCACCCACAUAUCAAAUUAUCAAAGUAUCAAACGUGAAUCAUAUGAUCGUGAUGAAAACUAGCUUGACGAUAAUUCCCAUGCGUCCUCGGGAGCGCUUUCCUUCAUAUAAGAGUUUCUCCAGGCUUGUCCUUUGCUACAAAAGGAUUGGGACAUGUUGCUGCACCUUAUUUACUUUUAUUACUUGCUACUCGAUACAAAUUACCUUAUCACAAAACUAUUUGUUACCGAUAAUUUCAGUGCUUGCAGAGAAUACCUUACUAAAAACUGCUUAUCAUUUCCUUCUGCUCCUCGUUGGGUUCGACACUCUUACUUAUUGAAAAGGCUACGAUAGAUCACCUAUACUUGUGGGUCAUCAAGACUCUUUUCUGGCACCAUUGUCGGGGAGUGAAGCACCUUUGGUAGGUGGAAUUUGGUAAGUAAAAAUUUAUAUAGUGUGCUGAAAUUUACUGUGACUUGUUACUAUGGAACAUAAUCCUUUGAGGGGUUUGUUCGGGUUAUCUUCACCUCGUCCGGAACCAUAAUUAGUUACCCCUCAACCUACUGAACCUACUGAAAAUGUUUACUUUGAAAUUCCUUCGGGUAUGAUAGAGAAACUGCUAGCUAAUCCUUUUGCAGGAGAUGGAACAUUGCAUCCCGAUUUGCACUUAAUCUAUGUGGAUGAAGUUUGUGGAUUAUUUAGACUUGCAGGUAUGCCCGAUGAUGUUAUCAAGAAGAAGGUCUUCCCUUUAUCUUUGAAGGGAGAUGCAUUGACAUGGUAUAGGCUAUGUGAUGAUAUGAGAUCAUGGGACUAUAAGCGAUUGAAAUUGGAAUUUCACCAGAAGUAUUAUCAUGUGCAUCUUGUUCAUCGUGAUCGUAAUUAUAUAUAUAAUUUUUGUCCUCGCGAAGAAGAAAGCAUCGCUCAAGCUUGGGGGAGGCUUAAGUCAGUGUUAUAUUCAUGCCCCAAUCAUGAGCUCUCAAGAGAAAUGAUUAUUCAAAAUUUUUAUGCUCGGCUUUCUAACAACAAUAGGUCCAUGCUCGAUACUUCUUGUACUGAUUCCUUUAUGAUGAAGACUAUUGAAUUCAAAUGGAAUUUAUUGGAGAGAAUUAAAUGCAACUCUGAAGAUUGGGAUCUCGAUGAAGGUAAGGAGUCAGGUAUAACACCUAAGUUUGAUUGUGUUAAAUCUUUUAUGGAUACCGAUGUUUUCCGUAAAUUUAGCACUAAAUAUGGACUUGACUCUGAGAUAGUAGCUUCUUGCUGUGAAUCCUUUGCUACUCAUGUUGAUCUCCCUAAGGAGAAGUGGUUUAAAUAUCAUCCUCCCAUAGAAGUAAAAGUAGUUGAACCUAUUAAAGUUGAAGAAAAUACUAUCACUUAUAAUGAUCCUAUUGUUCUGACUGCUUAUGUUGAGAAACCACCUUUCCCUGUUAGAAUAAAGAAUCAUGCUAAAGCUUCAACUAUGGUUCGUAAAAGUAAUAUUAGAACUUAUGCACCCCCUGAGCAAGUUAAAGUUGAACCUAAUAUUUCUAUUAUUAAAGAUCUUUUGGCUGAUAAUAUUGAUGGGCAUGUUAUUUACUUUUGUGAUGAGACUGCUAGAAUUGCUAAACCUGGUGCUAAAGGUAAACAUAGACCUGUGGUAGGCAUGCCUAUUAUUUCUGUUAAAAUAGGAGAUCAUUGUUAUCAUGGCUUGUGUGAUAUGGGUGCUAGUGCUAGUGCAAUACCUAUUUCCUUAUACAAAGAAAUUAUGCAUGAUAUUGCACCAGCUGAGAUAGAAGAUAUCGAUGUUACCAUUAAGCUUGCUAAUAGAGAUACUAUUUCACUAAUUGGGAUUGUUAGAGACAUUGAAGUCUUGUGUGGGAAGGCUAAAUAUCCUGCUGAUUUCCUUGUUCUUGGUUCCCCUCAAGAUAGCUUUUGUCCCAUUAUAUUUGGUAGACCCUUCUUGAAUACUGUUAAUGCUAAGGUAGAUUGCAAGAAGGAUGUUGUUACUAUUGGUUUGGAUGAUAUGUCCCGUGAGUUUAAUUUUUCUAAAUUUCGUAGACAACCCCGUGAUGAAGAAUUGCCUAGUAAAGAUGGAAUUAUUGGUCUUGCUUCUAUUGUUGUGCCUCCUAAUGAUCCUUUAGAACAAUAUUUGCUAGACCAUGAGAAUGAUAUGUUUAUGAAUGAAAGAAGGGAAAUAGAUGAAUUAUUCUUUAAACAAGGACCCAUUCGGAAACACAAUUUGCCUGGUGAAAUCCUAGGGGAUCCUCCUCCACCCAAGGGUGAUCCCAUGUUUGAGCUUAAACCAUUGCCUGAUACUCUUAAAUAUGCUUACCUUGAUGAAAAGAAGAUAUAUCCUAUUAUUAUUAGUGCUAACCUUUUCAGAGAAGGAGGAAGAAAAAAUAUUGAAAACUCUGAAGAAGCAUCGUGCUGCUAUUGGAUAUACUCUUGAUGAUCUUAAGGGCAUUAGUCCCACUCUAUGUCAACACAAAAUAAACUUAGAGAAAGACGCCAAACCAGUUAUUGAUCACCAACGACGGCUGAAUCCUAAGAUGAAAGAAGUGGUAAGAAAAGAAAUACUAAAGCUCCUUGAGGCAGGUAUAAUUUAUCUCGUUGCUGAUAGUCAGUGGGCACUAGUAGAAAAAGGGGCUUUUGUUCAGGUCUGGUCAGCCCAUUAGUCCCGAUUCUUCCAUGAACCGGGACCAAUGGAUGCAUUCGUCCCGGUUCGUGAGCCCAGGGGGCCGACCGUGGCCUCAUGGGCAUUGGUCCUGGUUCGUCUGGGUCCAUUUGUCCCGGUUCUUGGCACGAACCGAGACUAAUGGGCCUCACUCCUGGCCCACAAACAUAGGUCCCGGUUCUUGGCUCGAACCGGCAGAGAAGGCUGGGCUUUAGUCCCGGUUCCAGCCAAGAACCGGGACCAAUGAGUUUCCUAUAUAUACCCAUCGCUGAUGAGCAGAGCACUCCACAGUGCUCUGUUUUUUGCUGGCCGGCGAGGAAGGGCAUUUGGGUGCUCUAGCUCACCUCUUACGCAUGUGAGGUGUUCGAUGAAAUGCCCGAGCCACAUUAGUUAAGCUUUCUCCUCUCGAAGCUCGACCUCGGAGCUCCAUUUUUUUCGAGAUUUGUCUAGGUUUAGCGGCCCGUCAUGCCCCGUCCUUGUCUUCACCGCCAUCGAUCGCCCGCGCCGAUCUCGUCGCUGGCACCACCGUGGUGAGCCUCUUGUCCUUAUCUUCUUUCUGAAAGAAAAAAAACUUACUUUAGAUAGAUACUUGUCUAAUUUUCUUACUUUUGACACACAUAAUUAUAUAUAAUGCACGCAGAUGAAUCGGCAAUGGAUGUACGGUGACAGACACACCUUCGAGUACAUUAAGGGCGUGCGUAAAUUUCUGGAAGUGGCUGAGGCAAACAAGCAGAAUGGUUUUAUGUGUUGUCCAUGCCCUGAUUGUGGAAAUACGAGGUCUUACUCUGACAAGAAAAUCCUUCGCACCCACCGCUGUAUAAAGGUUUCAUGUCACACUAUAAUGUUUGGACGAUGCACGGAGAAAUAGGGGUUAUGAUGGAAGACAACGAAGAAGAAGAGGACGAUGACAACUAUGUGCCCCUGAAUACAGUGAUGCUGCGACGGGGGAAGCUGAAGAUCAAGAGGAACCAGACGAUGUGCCCGAUGAUGAUCUCCGCCAGGUCAUUGUUGAUGCAAGGGAAAAGUGCAAAAGUGAAAAGGAGAAGCUGAAGAUCGAUCGCAUGUUAGAGGAUCACAAAAAGGGUUGUACCCCAAUUGCGAAGAUGGCAACACAAAGCUCAGUACCGUACUGGAAUUGAUGCAGUGGAAGGCAGAGAAUGCUGUGCCUGACAAAGGAUUUGAGAAGCUACUGGAAAUAUUGAAGAAGAAGCUUCCAAAGGAUAACGAAUUGCCUAACAGUACGUACGCAACAAAGAAGGUCGUAUGCCAUCUAGGAUUGGAGGUGGAGAAGAUACAUGCAUGCCCUAAUGAAUGCAUCCUCUACCGCGGUGCGUACAAGGAUUUGAACGCAUGCCCGGUAUGCAGUGCAUUGCGGUAUAAGAUCAUACGAGAUGACCCUGGUGAUGUUGAGGGCGAGCGCUGCAGGAAGAGGAUUCCUGCGAAAGUGAUGUGGUAUGCUCAUAUAAUACCACGGUUGAAACGACUGUUCAGGAUCAAAGAGCAUGCCAAGUUUAUGCGAUGGCACAGUGAGGACCGUAAGAAAGACAGGAAGUUGAGAGCACCCGCUGACGGGUCGCAGUGGAGAAAAUCGAGAGAAAGUACUGGGCUCAGUUUGCAGGUGACCCAAGGAACGUAUGGUUUGGUUUAAGAGCGGAUGGCAUUAAUCCUUUCGGGGAGCAGAGCAGCAAUCACAGCACCUGGCCCGUGACUCUAUGUAUGUAUAACCUUCCUCCUUGGAUGUGCAUGAAGCAGAAGUUCAUUAUGAUGCCAAUUCUCAUCCAAGGCCCUAAGCAACCCGGCAACGACAUUGAUGUGUACCUAAGGCCAUUAGUUGAAGAACUUUUACAGCUGUGGAAUGGAAAUGGAGUACGUGCGUGGGAUGAGCACAAAAAGGUGGAAUUUAACCUGCAUGGGUUGCUUUUUGUAACCAUCAAUGAUUGGCCCGCUCUCAGUAACCUUUCAGGAUAGACAAACAAGGGAUACCAUGCAUGCACACACUGUUUAGCUGACACUGAAAGUAUAUACCUGGGCAGAUGCAGGAAGAAUGUGUACCUGGGCCAUCAUCAAUUUCUCCCGACCAACCAUCAAUGUCGAAAGAAAGGCAAGCAUUUCAAAGGAGAGGCAUAUCAUCGGAAGAAGCCCGCCAUGCGUACCGGUGAUCACGUACUUGAUAUGGUCUCUGAUUUACACGUAAUAUUUGGAAAGGGUCUCAGCGGACUAGUUGUUCCGAAUGACACUGAGGGACGCACCCAUGUGGAAGAAGAAAUCUAUAUUUUGGGACGUACCCUACUUGAAAGAGCUAGAGGUACACUCUUCAGUCGACGUGAUGCACGUGACGAAGAACCUUUGCGUGAACCUGUUAGGCUUCUUGGGCGUGUAUGGGAAGACAAAAGAUACACCUGAGGCACGAGAGGACCUGCAACGUUUGCAUGAAAAAGACGGCAUGCCUCCAAAGCAGUAUGAAGGUCCUGCCAGCUACGCUCUUACCAAAGAAGAGAAGGAAAUCUUUUUUUGAAUGCCUGCUCAGUAUGAAGGUCCCGACUGGCUUCUCAUCGAAUAUAAAGGGAAUAAUAAAUAUUCCAGAGAAAAAGUUCCAGAACCUAAAGUAUCAUGACUUCCACGUGAUUAUGACCCAACUGCUUCCUGUUGCAUUGAGGGGGCUUCUACCGGAAAACGUCCGACUAGCCAUUGUGAAGCUAUGUGCAUUCCUCAAGGCAAUCUCUCAGAAGGUGAUCAAUCCAGAUAUCAUACCAGGGCUAAGGAGUGAUGUGGCGCAAUGUCUUGUCAGUUUCGAGAUGGUGUUCCCACCAUCCUUCUUCAAGAUCAUGACGCACGUCCUAGUUCAUCUAGUCGACGAGAUUGUCAUUUUGGGCCCCGUAUUUCUACACAAUAUGUUCCCCUUUGAGAGGUUCAUGGGAGUCCUAAAGAAAUAUGUCCAUAACUGGGCUAGGCUAGAAGGAAGAAUCUCCAUGGGCCAUCAAACAGAGGAUGUCAUUGGGUUUUGUGUUGACUUCAUUCCUGGACAUAAGAAGAUAGGUCUCCCUAAAGGCACGCUAGGAGCAGACUCAAUAAUAUGCAGGGACGGGCGUUCUUGGUCUCAAGCACACUACACAGUUCUAUAGAACUCUACCUUGGUGACCCCGUAUGUCGAUGAACACAAGAACAGUCUGCUCUCCAAACACCCGGAGCAGUGUGACAACUGGAUUACAUGUGAACACAUCAUGACUUUCAGCAGUUGGUUGGAAACACGUCUCAGAGGUGACAACACUGUUUGUGAUGAGCUGUACUCGUUGUCCAAGGGACCAUCUUCGACUGUAUUGACUUACAAAGGAUACGAGAUAAAUGGGAAUACAAUUUACACGAUCGCUCAAGAUCAAAAGAGCACCAACCAAAACAGCGGUGUUCGCUUUGAUGCAGCAACCGAGAGGGGAAAGGACACAUAUUAUGGUUACACAAUGGACAUAUGGGAACUUGACUACGGACAUGAUUUUAAGGUCCCUUUGUUUAAGUGCAAAUGGGUCAAUCUGUCAGGAGGCGGGGUACAUGUAGACCCAUAGUACGGAAUGACAAUAGUGGAUCUGAACAAUCUUGGGUACACCGACGAACCGUUCGUCCUAGCCAAUGAUGUGGCACAGGUAAUCUAUGUGAAGGACAUGUCUACCAAACCGAGAAAAAGAAAAGAUAAGGAAGCGAAUACAUCAUACGACGAGCCAAAGCGCCACAUAGUUUCUUCAGGAAAAAGGGACAUCAUGGGAGUGGAGGGCAAGAUAGACAUGUCUGAAGAUUAUGAAAAGUUUAAUGAAAUUCUUCCCUUCAAAGUCAAGGCUGACCCAAGCAUCCUGAUAAACGAUGAAGAUUAUCCAUGGUUAUGGUGCAAUAAGUAAAGCACACAAGCGAAAAAAGUGAAGACUUUCUCUCCACAACUAUUAUGAUGAUACCAUGCCAACUUUCAACCUUUUCGUAGUUCAUUUGAAAUGCAUGUUGUAACAGACGAGUUUCCGUAUGAAAUCCAGAUACUUCGAAAGAGAUUGUCCGUUUUGUACACGAAGUGCAUCCAGUUUUUGCCGUAACCCUCUCUACUUUCUUGCACAUGCUAUGUGGGUGAAAUGAUGAUACCAUGUCAACUUUCAACCUUUUCAGAGUUUAUUUGUAGUGCUUUUCAAUUUCAGGGUCUUAUAGCUCAAAAUAAUAAGUAAAUGCAUACAAAAUAACAAAUGAAGUCAGAAAGGGUUGAAAAUUGAUGAUGUGACUUUGAAUGGUGCAUUUUGAAAACAGAAAAACUAUGGAGUUCAAAUAAGUUCUAAAAAAAUGAAAUCCCUUUGUAAGAGACGAGAUGAAACCCUGAUACUUCGAAAGGGAUUGUCCGUUUUGUACACGAUGUGCAUCUAGUUUUUGCCGUAACCCUCUCUACUUUCUUGCACAUGCUAUGUGGGUGAAAUGAUGAUACCAUGUCAAUUUUCAACCUUUUCAGAGUUCAUUUGUAGUGCUUUUCAAUUUCAGGGUCUUAUAACCCAAAAUAAUCAGUAAAAUAACAAAUAAAAUAAAUAAGUAAUUAUAAAUAGAAUAAAAUAAACUGUAAUAAAAUAUAUAUGUAGAAACAAAAUAAAAUAAAAUAAAAUAAACUUUCAUAGCAUAAAUAAAAUUUAUGAAACUAAAAUUAUCAACGUAUUUUCUGUUCAAAACAUUAUAAGCAACCUCUAGUAUUAUUGAAACAUUAUAAAAUUGAUGCAACUAAAACUAUCAAAGUUUUUCUGCUCAAAAUCAUUCAAAGCAAAAAGAAUUUUCAUAUAGAACUUUUUUUGUUAGAAACUUUAAUAGUAGAAAGAAUUAUCAUAAAAUAAAAUAAAUAAGUAAUUAGAAACAAAAUAAUAUAAAUAAGUAUUUUGUUGUAAGGAGAAACAAAAUAAACUGGGAAAAAAUUAAAAAAAUGCCACUUACUGGGCCACCACGGCCUGAAUAUGACUAGAAACCCAUCCAUGGGCCAGGAUUCAGGCCCGCAGAAGGCCCAGCAGGCCCACGGGCAUAGCAGUGCGAGAUUAGGCCCAGAGGCCUACAAUUCAGAGGAGUUCAAUGGAGAUGGCGGGGCAGGGCUUAUAAACAGGUCCUGCCGCUCCUCGGCUAGCGAGGUGGGACUAAACAUCCCACCGCACCGCGGCUUUGGCAUGCGCAUGCCUUUGGUCCCGGUUGGUGCCACCNNNNNNNNNNNNNNNNNNNNNNNNNNNNNNNNNNNNNNNNNNNNNNNNNNNNNNNNNNNNNNNNNNNNNNNNNNNNNNNNNNNNNNNNNNNNNNNNNNNNNNNNNNNNNNNNNNNNNNNNNNNNNNNNNNNNNNNNNNNNNNNNNNNNNNNNNNNNNNNNNNNNNNNNNNNNNNNNNNNNNNNNNNNNNNNNNNNNNNNNNNNNNNNNNNNNNNNNNNNNNNNNNNNNNNNNNNNNNNNNNNNNNNNNNNNNNNNNNNNNNNNNNNNNNNNNNNNNNNNNNNNNNNNNNNNNNNNNNNNNNNNNNNNNNNNNNNNNNNNNNNNNNNNNNNNNNNNNNNNNNNNNNNNNNNNNNNNNNNNNNNNNNNNNNNNNNNNNNNNNNNNNNNNNNNNNNNNNNNNNNNNNNNNNNNNNNNNNNNNNNNNNNNNNNNNNNNNNNNNNNNNNNNNNNNNNNNNNNNNNNNNNNNNNNNNNNNNNNNNNNNNNNNNNNNNNNNNNNNNNNNNNNNNNNNNNNNNNNNNNNNNNNNNNNNNNNNNNNNNNNNNNNNNNNNNNNNNNNNNNNNNNNNNNNNNNNNNNNNNNNNNNNNNNNNNNNNNNNNNNNNNNNNNNNNNNNNNNNNNNNNNNNNNNNNNNNNNNNNNNNNNNNNNNNNNNNNNNNNNNNNNNNNNNNNNNNNNNNNNNNNNNNNNNNNNNNNNNNNNNNNNNNNNNNNNNNNNNNNNNNNNNNNNNNNNNNNNNNNNNNNNNNNNNNNNNNNNNNNNNNNNNNNNNNNNNNNNNNNNNNNNNNNNNNNNNNNNNNNNNNNNNNNNNNNNNNNNNNGCCCCCCAGUGAGCUCCACUCCCGUUCCCCCUGCGCCUCCGCUGCGCGCUGCAGCCUUUGCCCUGUGCUGCCACCGUCGCCGCCCCUGCCCUGCUCUACCACCGCUGUCGCCCCUGCCCUGCGAGUUGCCGCCGCCACUGCCCCUGCCCCUACGCGUUGCCGUCGCCGGCCCUGCCCCUGCUUCCUAGAAUUUUUUUAGGUUCAUAGAAUUUUUUUCCUUUAAUUGUUUUCAUAUAUAUAGAUGGGUGGAUUGAUGUAUUUAUAUAUAUGGAUGCAUGGAUGGAUUGAUGUGUAUAGAUUUUUUUUAUGUACAUGUCCAAAGAAAAAGGUCUAUUUUUUGGUGAUAUGUAUGUUCAUAUGCUCAUUUAAGAAAAUGUUCAUAUGUUACAUUUAAGAAAAAAGUAAAUGUAUGCAUGUUCAUAUGCAACGACUGUGCAAAGAAUUAUUUUUCGAUGAUAUGAGAUGAGAUGAGAUGUGUUUUAUGGAGACGAGAUGAGAUGUUUGUGGAAUUUUUUUUGUUCAUAGAAUUUACUAAGUUAAAACUAAUAUUAAAAUUGUGUAUGAUCAAAGUCUUUUAUGUAUAUGUUCAUAUUUAGAAGAAAAAGAAGAGGAAAAAGAAGAAGAAAAUGAAGAGGAAAACAAAGAAGAAAAAGAAGGAAAAAAGAGAAGAAGAAAAAAUAGAAUAGAUCUCAUCUAUUCCUUAUUCUAUUUUUUCUUCUUCUCCUCUAUUCCUUCUUCUUCUCCUCUCUUUUUUCUUUCUUUCUUUUUUUCCUUCUUCUUCCUCUUCUUAUUCUUAGUAAGUACUACUUUAUUUUAUUUAUAGUAAGUGCUUAAUUAGUAGUUGAACUGGUUGAUUUAAUAAAAUUACUUUAUUUUACUAUAUAUAGAAGUUGUUUAUUUUUAGUAAGUACUACUUUAUUUUAUUUAUAGUAAUUAAGUGCUUAGUAGUAGUUGAACUAGUUGAUUUAAUAAAACUACUUUAUUUUACUAUAGAAGUAGUUUAUUUUUAGCAAGUAAAUUAAUAGAACUACUUUAUUUUUUUAGUUCAAGCAAUUAUUCCCGCAUCGCCGUCGACAAUGCCUAUCCCGCAUCCUCAUCGUCGACUCGGCGGAGGAGGCCAGCUUGAUCAGAGGGGCCAUGUCCGGGACUGGGCUCCGCCGGCUCCGCCGGGCUGGUAUUGGGAGGUGCUACCUUCCAUGGGGCGUAGGUUGGUGAGGAGCCAGCCCGUCGUUGACCCGAUCCUUGUUUGGUGGCGGUCGCGUGGGCCAGUGACGGUGCCGAGGAUUCCGGACACCGCGGAGGUGGUAUGUCACCGUGUCAGCGAGGAGGACGAGCACAUCCAUCGCUACAUGGUUGCGUUGGAGGGUAGGUUCGACAAUAUCUGGCAGGUUCUUUAGGGAUCUCACAGGAGCGAUCCUGUGAUGGUUCCUUCUCUUUGGGUGUCCACCGCCCGUGCCGAUACCCGUCGGGCGCUACGGUUCUAGCUGUACUAGCGAUGUUAUAUGUAACGCCCUCGAUGCGACUAUAGCUCCCACGUGUCGAGGCACGAAUUAGAGACAUAAUCGCAUUGAAGGCAUAUGUCGCAAGUUAGGCAAUCUUCACAACAUCCCAUGUAAUAUGAAUAAUAAAGGGGAGAACAUAGUUGGCUUACACUCGCCACGUCACAUCAAAGUACAUAAAUAACAUCCAUCAUACAAACACUCAUGGCCCGACUACGGCGCCAAAAUGGAAAAGAACCCAACAUGCGACAAGGCCCCGAAUCAACCCCAACUGGGCACCACUAAUGAUCGUCAGGAAAAGACACGUAGUAAUGCUGAGAGUCCUCGUCGAACUCCCACUUGAGCUCGUACUCGACACCUGGAGUGGAAACAUCUAGACCUGCAUCUAGAGUUAAAGUAUCUGUGAGCCAAAGGGACUCAGCAAUCUCGCACCCUGGCGAUCAAAACUAUUUAAGCUUAUAGGAAGGAUAGGCAGAUAUAUGUGGAGUUGCAGCAAGCGACUAGCAUAUAUGGUGGCUAUCUUAUACGCAAAAGAGAGCGAGAAGAGGAGGCAAAGCGCGAGCGAGAAUCUAGAAGAACAACCUGCGCAAGCAUAACUCCAACACCGUGUCCACUUCCCGGACUCCGCCGGAAAGGGGCCAUCACGGUAACACACAUAGUUGAUUCAUUUUAAUUAAGUUUAAUUCAAGUUAUCUACAACCAGACAUUAACAAAUUCCCAUCUGCCCAUAACCGCGGGCACGACUUUCAAAAGUUCAAUCCCUGCAGGGGAGUCCCAACUUAGCCCAUGACAAGCUCUCACGGUCAACGAAGGAAUAGACCUCCUCCCAAGACGUUCCGAUCAGACUCGGUAUCUCGGUAACUCAAGACACUUCGACAGGUUAAAACAAGACCAGCAACACCGCCCGAAUGUGCCGACAAAUCCUGAUAGGAGCUGCACAUAUCUCUUUCUCAGGGCACACUCAGAUGAGCAAGACGUCGAGUAGGCCAGCCCAGAGUUGCCCCUGGUAGCCCCGGACANNNNNNNNNNNNNNNNNNNNNNNNNNNNNNNNNNNNNNNNNNNNNNNNNNNNNNNNNNNNNNNNNNNNNNNNNNNNNNNNNNNNNNNNNNNNNNNNNNNNNNNNNNNNNNNNNNNNNNNNNNNNNNNNNNNNNNNNNNNNNNNNNNNNNNNNNNNNNNNNNNNNNNNNNNNNNNNNNNNNNNNNNNNNNNNNNNNNNNNNNNNNNNNNNNNNNNNNNNNNNNNNNNNNNNNNNNNNNNNNNNNNNNNNNNNNNNNNNNNNNNNNNNNNNNNNNNNNCAGAACCCAAGGGAAAGAAAAGGGCUAGGUGGCAAAUGGUAAGACCAAUGUUGGGCAUUGCUGGAAAAGCUUUAAUCAAGGAGAAAUAUCAAGGGGUUCCCAUUAUAACCCAACCGCGCAAGGAACGCAAAAUCCGGGAACAUAACACCGAUAUGACGGAAACUAAGGCGGCAAGAGUGGAACAAAACACUAGGCGAGAGGCCGAGCCUUCCACCCUUUACCAAUUAUAUAGAGGCAUUAAGAUAACAUAGCAAUAUAAUGAUAUCCCAACGAGUAAAUAAAUGUUCCAACAAGGAACGCUUCCAAUCUUCACCUGCAACUAGCAACGCUAUAAGAAGGGCUGAGCAAAGCGGUAACAUAGCCAAUCAACGGUUUGCUAGGACAAGGUGGGUUAGAGGUUUGACAUGGCAAUUGGGAGGCUGACAAGCAAAAGGUUGGCAUCGUAGCAUUGGCAUAGGAAAGAGCGAGCAAACUAGCAUAGCAAAGAUAGUAGUGAUUUCGAGGGUAUGAUCAUCUUGCCUGCACAGUUGUCAGAGUUGACUGGAUCCUCACAAGCAAACUCAACGGGCUCCUCGGUAGCGAACUCGUCUCCUGGCUCUACCCAAACAAGACAAACAAGCAACAAAGAUACAAUCAACCACGUGCAAACACAAACAACACAAUGCAAAGAUGACAUGCUAUGCGGGAUGCGAUGCGGGAUGCAAAUUGCAAGAUAUGAUAGGAAAUGCAUGAACCUGGCCUCAACUUGGAAUCCCAAGUGUUCCACUGGAAAGAUGAGAUGAAAUCGCUUGAAAACGAUAUAAAGAUCAUUGGAAUCGGAGUUACGGUUUGGAAAUGGCAAGCGUUUCAAAAAUGACACCGGUCUGCGAUUUACAGUAAGUAGGCAUCUAAAUGCAAUGAAAGGAACAUGCUACAGCCACCAAACAUGACAACAAAAUACAUGGCAGGGAUGUACACAAGAUGCUUAACAAAAGACUAGCACUGAUCCACGGCCAAUUCACCCAUUACGAGGUUCGAACAAGCAUGGCAAAAACGCAAGUGCAAAACAAAUUUCAGACUUAGUGAAAUUAACACUUGUCUGAAAUUUCAGAUCACGAAGCCCUCUUCGGAGCAGCAAAACAACAUGAUACAUGACCUGAUUAAGACAAGUAAGAACAUGACAUGGAGUUACUCAACAAGCUUAACAAAAGACCCAAAGUGACCUGGGGCCAAAAGGGUUCACAAAAUAUACUAACGGGCACACGAACAUAGCUAAAACACAAUCAGUUUUUAGACUUAGUGAAAACUUAGACAUGUUGAAAUAUAACUCACGAAGGCAUGUAAACGAGCUCGAUGCACUCACCACGGUGCAAGUCAUGUCAAGGCAAGCAUACAUCCAUAAAGAAGGCACAAAAUACAAGCUAGACAUGGCAAGAACAAUGGCAUAGCAUGCACGGAUCAACUUCAAUAACAUCGGCAAAAUCGCAAACGAGUUGACGAUCUACCCAGAUUCACCAUGAAGCAAAAGUAGAGCUCGAUUGACUCAAGCUAGGGUGCUCCAUAAUUGCAAACAAAGACAUGGAUGGAUAGAGCAUAACAUGAUUAACAAAACUCCUUUACUGAUCAUCCUCAAAAGAGGCACGGAUCACUAGGAAACAAGCUGAACAUAUGGCAUCAUGAACUAAAUAAUCCCAGACUUAGUGAAAACUACUAAGUCCCUGAAAACAGAUUUACCGGGUGCCUCACUUUGCAAGCUUGCACAAGUCACCACACACAUCCUAAAAAUGCAUGGGUUGCACCUCUGGAAAGAAGACAAAAUCCUUAACAAAACAUAUGAAGGACUCACAGGCAUAGCAUGCACACAAUAAUCAUGGCAAAAAUGACAAAAGUCUAAGAUGAACUAGCAGAUCUGACAAUUAACUCACGAAGCCUCCUUCUAACAGCAUUUUGGGCAUCAAGAUGAACUCAAAUGAAAAUGAUGCAAUGGAACGAAAUGAUGUACUCGUCGAGACGAACAUUUGGUAUACUAUAUGUCCAAAUCGGAGCUAAAGAUGCAAAGUUACGGGGCCUCGAACAUGUGCAUAUGAAGCAAAAAUCUAGGGACUUGGAACAAAAAAAAUAACCCCGCGGAUUAGGGUUACUGUAGCAACCGCGGAUCUUGAUCGGGCGUGGGCGCUCGCCGGCGACGAUGGCGGUGGCGGCCGGACGGAGGGGAGGCNNNNNNNNNNNNNNNNNNNNNNNNNNNNNNNNNNNNNNNNNNNNNNNNNNNNNNNNNNNNNNNNNNNNNNNNNNNNNNNNNNNNNNNNNNNNNNNNNNNNNNNNNNNNNNNNNNNNNNNNNNNNNNNNNNNNNNNNNNNNNNNNNNNNNNNNNNNNNNNNNNNNNNNNNNNNNNNNNNNNNNNNNNNNNNNNNNNNNNNNNNNNNNNNNNNNNNNNNNNNNNNNNNNNNNNNNNNNNNNNNNNNNNNNNNNNNNNNNNNNNNNNNNNNNNNNNNNNNNNNNNNNNNNNNNNNNNNNNNNNNNNNNNNNNNNNNNNNNNNNNNNNNNNNNNNNNNNNNNNNNNNNNNNNNNNNNNNNNNNNNNNNNNNNNNNNNNNNNNNNNNNNNNNNNNNNNNNNNNNNNNNNNNNNNNNNNNNNNNNNNNNNNNNNNNNNNNNNNNNNGACGGCCGGAGGCAGGAGGCAGCACGGGGAGCGCGGCGGGGUUCGGUGGCGCCAGCCACCAGCGCUGGAGAGGGCUGCGGCGAACGAGGCAGGAGGCGGCGGGCGGAUCGGGCCGCGCGGGGGCCCGACUUGGGCUCCGCGGGCCGGCGGCUGUUGGCGGCGGAGAGCGACACGUGGCGGCGCUAGGUUGGUCGGUGGCGGCGGCGUGAGUUGUCCGGUCGGGUCUGACACGUCUGGCCGGCGCGAGGGAAUUUUAGGGUUUCGGGGAGGAAGAAGAGAUCCGAAAACGGGGGGUGUAUAUAUAGGCAUAAGUGGAGCUAGGAGAGUCCAAAUGAGGUGCGGUUUUCGGCCACGCGAUCGUGAUCAAACGCUCUAGGACAUGGAGAAGAGUUUGGUGGGUUUUGGGCCAAAUUGGAGGGGUGUUGGGCUGCAACACACACGAGGCCUUUUCGGUCCCUCGGUUAACCGUUGGAGUAUCAAACGAAGUCCGAAUGAUACGAAACUUGACAGGCGGUCUACCGGUAGUAAACCAAGGCCGCUUGGCAAGUCUUGGUCCAAUCCGGAAAUGUUUAAUCCCCACACAUGAAAGAAAGCUAGAAAUGACCAUCGGAGGAGAACGAAGCGCCGGAAUGCAAAACGGACAACGGGGAAAAUGCUCGAAUGCAUGAGAUGAACACGUAUGCAAAUGCAAUGCACAUGAGACAUGAUAUGAGAUGCAUGACAAAGACAACAACACACAGAGACAAAACCCGAACUCGAGGAAAUAAAUAUAACUUAAUGCCGGAAACGGCAAGAGUUCGAGUACAAAUUGGGAAAGUUACAUCCGGGGUGUUAAAACACUCCACCACUACGAAAAGAUCUCGUCCCGAGAUCUAGGACUGAAAGAACUCCGGGUACUCAGAAUGGAGGUGAUCCUCGUGUUCCCAGGUAGCUUCACGUUCGGAAUGGUGUGACCACUUGACUUUGAGAAAUUUGAUCGACUUGUUGCGAGUCUUGCGUUCAGUCUCUUCAAGAAUAGCAACUGGAUGUUCACGAUAAGAGAGAUCUUCUUGGAGCUCAAUGUCCUCGAAGUUGACUGUGCGGUCAGGAGUCUUGAAGCACUUUCGAAGCUGAGAGACGUGGAACACAUCAUGAACAUUUGCAAAGUUUGAAGGAAGCUCGAGUUGAUAGGCGAGGUCGCCUCUCUUGCUGACAAUCUUGAAAGGUCCCACAUAUCUAGGGGCAAGCUUCCCUUUGAUACCGAAGCGACGAGUACCUUUCAUAGGAGAGACACGGAGGUAAACAUGAUCUCCGAUCUCGAAAGCCAAAUCACGGUGCUUACUAUCAUAGUAGCUCUUCUGGCGGGAUUGGGCUGCUUUGAGGUUAUCACGAAUGACUUUGCACAUUUCUUCUGCUUCUAUGAUUAAGUCAUUACCCAGCAGCUGACGUUCACCGGUUUCAGACCAGUUGAGCGGGGUACGGCACUUCCUACCAUAUAGAAUUUCAAAUGGGGCCUUGCCCGAACUUGCUUGAAAACUGUUAUUGUAGGAGAAUUCAGCGUAAGGAAGACAGUCCUCCCACUUCAUGCCGAAGGAGAUCACACAAGCCCUGAGCAUAUCUUCAAGAAUCUGGUUGACACGCUCGACUUGACCGCUUGUUUGAGGAUGGAAAGCAGUGCUGAAGCGGAUGUUGGUACCCAUGGCCUUCUGAAAAGAAUCCCAAAACUUGGAGGUAAAGAUGCUGCCACGGUCUGAAGAUAUCACUUGAGGAAUACCGUGCAGAGAGACAAUUCGAGAGGUAUAGAGUUCCGCCAAUUGAGCUGCAGUGAUCGACUCUUUGAUAGGCAGAAAAUGAGCCACUUUGGUGAGCUUGUCGAUGACAACGAAUAUAGCAUCAUUGCCACGCUUGGACUUUGGAAACCCAGUUACGAAGUCCAUUUCAAUGUGAUCAAACUUCCAUUCUGGAAUGGCAAGAGGUUGGAGGAGACCAGCUGGCCUUUGGUGUUCUGCCUUCACUCUUCUGCAGACGUCACACUCAUUCACGAAUUGAGCGAUCUCGCGCUUCAUUCGAGUCCACCAAUAAGCUUGCUUGAGGUCCUGAUACAUCUUCGUGCUCCCAGGGUGGAUGGAGAGGAGAGAAUUGUGAGCCUCGUUCAUGAUCACUUUACGGAGGUCAUCUUUGGGCAAAACAAUACGAUCCUCGAAGAAGAGAGUGUCCUUGUCAUCAAGGCGGUAGCACUUGUACUUGGACUGACUCUUGGCAAUCCCAAUCUUCACCUUUUUCACCAUAGCAUCAAGAAGCUGGGCUUGGCGAAUCUGGUCUUCUAAGGUAGGAGAGACUUGAAGGUUGGCGAGGAAACAUUGAGGAACAACUUGCAGAUUCAGUUUGCGGAAAGCUUCACAAAGCUCGGGUUGAUAAGGCUUAAGAAUCAAACUGUUGCAAGAGGCCUUUCUGCUCAAAGCGUCAGCAAUCACAUUGGCCUUGCCUGGAGUAUACUCAAUACUCGGAUUAUACUCUUGAAUCAUUUCGACCCAUUGAGUUUGCCUGAGGUUGAGAUUAGGCUGAGUGAAGAUGUACUUGAGACUCUUGUGAUCAGUGAAAAUGUCCACUUUUCUCCUAAUAGAAGAUGUCUCCAAGUCAAAAGAGCAUGCACAACUGCCGCCAACUCGAGAUCAUGAGUGGGGUAGUUCUUCUCAUUAGGCUUCAACUGGCGAGAUGUAUAAGCAACAACUUUCUUCUCUUGCAUCAAAACUGCGCCAAGACCUUGGAGAGAGGCAUCACAAAAGUCCUCGUACGGCUUGGAUUCAUCAGGCGGAGUCAGAACUGGAGCAGUGAUCAAUUUCUCUUUCAAAGUGUUGAAAGCAAUAUCACACUCCGGAGACCAAACGUACUUGACGUGCUUCUGAAGAAGAUUUGAGAGAGGCUUCGCGAUCUUAGAAAAGUUUUCAACGAAUCUUUGGCAAUAGCUUGCGAGACCGAGAAAACUGCGGAGUUGCUUCACGUUCUGAGGAGGUUCCCAAUUCACAAUUGCAGACACCUUCUCAGGAUUCACGGAAAUGCCCUUGGCAGAGAUGAUAUGACCAAGAUAAAGAACCUCAUCAAGCCAAAAUUCGCACUUGGAGAACUUGGCGUAGAACUGAUGUUCUCUGAGCUUAUCAAGAACCACACUCAAGUGCUUGGCAUGAUCUUCCUUGUUCUUCGAGAAAACCAGAAUGUUGUCGAGAUAGACCAAAACGAAGUCAUUGGUGUAGGCGUUGAAGAUGAAGUUCAUCAUGCGAAAGAACGUCGGAGGAGCGUUGGCGAGGCCAAAAGACAUGACAGUGUAUUCAUAUGAACCAAAGCUUGUUCUGAAUGUUGUCUUGGGAAUAUCUUCUUCACGAAUGCAAAUCUGGUGAUAACCCAUACGGAGAUCAAGCUUGGAGAAUACUUGAGCACCUUUGAGUUGUUCGAACAGUUCAUUGAUGUUGGGAAGUGGGUAUUUGUUCUUGAUGGUCUUCUUGUCACUGGACGGUAAUCAACACAAAGUCGGUCCGUUCCAUCCUUCUUCUUCACAAAAAGAACACCACAACCCCACGGAGAGGAGCUAGGCCGGAUGAGACCCAUUCUUUCUUGCUCAUCGAGUUGCUUCUUCAGCUCCUUCAACUCUUCAGGUCUGAGCUUGUAAGGAAGUUUGCACAUAGGUUCCGUGCCAGGCUCAAGUUCAAUAACGAAUUCAACUGGCCGGUGCGGAGGCAUUCCUGGGAGCUCUUCUGGAAAGACGUCUUGAUAUUCGCAAACGACUGGAAUUUGCGAGAUGGCAUCCAAUUCACCCUUCUCAUUGAGAGAAAACAGACGGAUGGUAUCCUCACGAGCGGCAAAGACAAUUACAUCCUCAGACGAAUGAGUCAAUUGAAUCUGCCUGGCUGCACAAUCAAGCUGAGCCUUGUGCUUAGAAAGCCAAUCCAUUCCGAGAAUAAGAUCAAUAUCCGAGUUACCAAGCACCAUAGGAGAAGAAAGGAACUUGUAGUCGCCCAAUGUGAUAGUAACAUCCGGAGCCAUCAUUUUGGUGUUCAUGAACAAACCCGGAGAAGAAACCGCUAUCGGCUUAGGCAAAUCAAUAGUAUGCACAUCAUGCAUGGAUGCAAAAGGCUUCGACAAAAAUGAUAAAGAUGCACCAGUGUCAAAAAGAACUCUUGCGGGAAUGUCAUUAACAGGAAGGUUACCCAUGAUCACAUCUGGUGAUUCCUCUGCCUGAGCUGCAUUCAGCAAGUUGACCUUGGCGGACUUGGGGUUAUGCUUGACCACAGCUGUACUUGCCGAUCUGAAGGGAGGAGGAGGAGGAAGACGCCUCUGGUUGAAACACUUGUUGGCAUAGUGACCCUUCUGUUGGCACUUGUUGCACGUGACCUCUGAAAGCGGACGGUGAUACGGAGCACUCGAUCUUGGAGCUUGAGACGAAGUCUUGUUCUGAAAGCCAGGGUUGGGUGGGUGGGAAGAACCACUGCCACCUUUGCUCUUAUGCUAAAACGGCUGACGGAACGGAGGAGGAGGAAGCCAAAACUUCUGCUGCUUGGCCACUUGAGUAGAGGAAGAAGGAGUAGCAUCUCUGACUCGCUUCUUGGAAGCAUCACACCUCACUGAGCAGCCUCUUGCUUCAGUGCCAUGUUGUAGAACUCAUCGUAUCUCAACGGCUCAAAGAGGACAAGAGCGAGCUGAAUAUCUUCUCUGAGACCACCCCUGAACUGGUAUAUCAUGCUCUUCUCAUCAGGGACGUCCUUCUUGGCAAAGCGGGCGAGCUUCUGGAACAACUUGUUGUAGUCAUAGACAGACAAAGAGCCUUGCUUCAGAUUGCGGAAUUCCUCACGCUUGCUUUCAACCACACUCUGCGGAAAAUGAUGAGCUCGGAAAUCUCGACGGAAAUCAUCCCAAGUGAUAACACGUCCACCUCUGGAGUCCUUGUACUGCUGGAACCAUUCUGCAGCUUGAUCUUUGAGUUGGAAGGAAGCGAACUUCACAAAGUCCUCAGGCCUGACGUUACUGCACUCGAAAUGCUUACACAGAUCCACAAGCCAAUCGUCAGCAUCGGUUGCCUCAACACAAUUGCUGAAAGUCUUUGGCCCGUUAGCAAGAAACUGGUUGAGUGUAGCAAAGUGACUCUGAUUGCUGCCUUGAUUCCCUUGACUGCCUUGAUUGCGCUCUUGGAGAAUUUGCAUGAUCAGCUGAGUGUUUGCAUUGGUUGCGGCCAUCACAGCUUGCCAUGCCUCUGGAGCAGGUGGAGGCGGUGGCGGAUCUUGAUUCUGGUUCUGACUGGUGCUCUUAGCGGGAGCCAUGCUGAAGAGGUUGACCACCGUUAGCACAUAGACAGAUAAAUGAAGCUGAAACCAACGGAAUGACAAUUGCAACAUAAAGUCUUCACAUCCGAACAAAAUGAACGAAUGCAUUCCUCUUCAAUGGUCACAUAUCCACAAAUUGAGAAGCCACGUAGAAUUAAGGUAGAGAAAUAAAUCAACAAGGUACGGAUCAAGAACGAAUAAUCGGUAAGAAAUCCCAAUCUCAAACCAAUAUCCGUGGAAGAAGAACUAGAGCUACGAGAAUUCCCACCUAUGAAACUCCCGAACCUUUCCGGUUAUGCAAUCAGGUGUUGGGGAUACAGGGGAAGCAUAAUUUCUCACCCAAACUAGCAAAUCCUACAUCCAGCUGUAUCCAUCCUUUAACACAUAACCAAGAAAACUUCGGAAACCAUCUACCUCAACCUUCGAAAAGCAUCCGUUAUACAAGUUAUGGCGAUACUCCCGAACUCCCGCCCCAGUACUGGGUGGCGUCGAGGUUAUCUCACCAACGAACUGCAUAAAAGAGAUUUUCGAUGUCGGCGAACAUAUCUCAAGUAUUCCAGAAUUGCAACGAUAAAAUUAUGAUGACAACACCUCAGAGCUCAACUCCCCGGGACACUUCCACUAAACCCCUGACAGGAGGCACCAAGACAAUGUUCUCAUCAUAAGCCAUCGGAAUGAUUCCAAGAUACUCGCGUGAUCCUAAAUUUUUUUUAGUGAAAUUUGAGAAGAGAAGAGUCAAAACUCUAUGUCAGGAUGCCUUACCAGAGCGAUGAGGAGACUGGGGAGUAAAAAGAAUUCCUAAGCUCUCCGAUAUAUAAUUCCUAAAUGACUCAAAACAUUUUUUUCUAGACACAACUCGGCUGCUAAAACGAUCAAGCAAUAGGGCUCCUAAGGUCGAGGAAGGCUCUGAUUACCAACUUGUAACGCCCUCGAUGCGACUAUAGCUCCCACGUGUCGAGGCACGACUUAGAGACAUAAUCGCAUUGAAGGCAUAUGUCGCAAGUUAGGCAAUCUUCACAACAUCCCAUGUAAUAUGAAUAAUAAAGGGGAGAACAUAGUUGGCUUACACUCGCCACGUCACAUCAGAGUACAUAAAUAGCAUCCAUCAUACAAACACUCAUGGCCCAACUACGGCGCCAAAAUGGAAAAGAACCCAACAUGUGACAAGGCCCCGAAUCAACCCCAACUGGGCACCACUACUGAUCGUCAGGAAAAGACACGUAGUAACGCUGAGAGUCCUCGUCGAACUCCCACUUGAGCUCGUACUCGACACCUGGAGCGGAAACAUCUGGACCUGCAUCUGGAGUUAUAGUAUCUGUGAGCCACAGGGACUCAGCAAUCUCGCACCCUCGCGAUCAAAACUAUUUAAGCUUAUAGGAAGGAUAGGCAGAUAUAUGUGGAGCUGCAGCAAGUGACUAGCAUAUAUGGUGGCUAUCUUAUACGCAAAAGAGAGCGAGAAGAGGAGGCAAAGCGCAAGCGAGAAUCUAGAAGAACAACCUGCGCAAGCAUAACUCCAACACCGUGUCCACUUCCCGGACUCCGCCGGAAAGGGGCCAUCACGGUAACACACACGGUUGAUUCAUUUUAAUUAAGUUUAAUUCAAGUUAUCUACAACCGGACAUUAACAAAUUCCCAUCUGCCCAUAACGGCGGGCACGACUUUCGAAAGUUCAAUCCCUGCAGGGGAGUCCCAACUUAGCCCAUGACAAGCUCUCACGGUCAACGAAGGAAUAGACCUCCUCCCAAGAUGUUCCGAUCAGACUCGGUAUCUCGGUAACUCAAGACACUUCGACAUGUUAAAACAAGACUAGCAACACCGCCCGAAUGUGCCGACAAAUCCUGAUAGGAGCUGCACAUAUCUCUUUCUCAGGGCACACUCAGAUGAGCAAGACGUCGGGUAGGCCAGCCCAGAGUUGCCCCUGGUAGCCCCGGACAUCGCUCAGUGGGACCAACACUCAGAGGAGCACUGGCCCGGGGGGUAAAAUAAGAUGACCCAUGAGUCUGCAGAACCCAAGGGAAAGAAAAGGGCUAGGUGGCAAAUGGUAAGACUAAUGUUGGGCAUUGCUGGAAAAGCUUUAAUCAAGGCGAAAUAUCAAGGGGUUCCCAUUAUAACCCAACCGCGUAAGGAACGCAAAAUCCGGGAACAUAACACCGAUAUGACCGAAACUAAGGCGGCAAGAGUGGAACAAAACACUAGGCGAGAGGCCGAGCCUUCCACCCUUUACCAAUUAUAUAGAGGCAUUAAGAUAACAUAGCAAUCUAAUGAUAUCCCAACGAGUAAAUAAAUGUUCCAACAAGGAACGCUUCCAAUCUUCACCUGCAACUAGCAACGCUAUAAGAGGGGCUGAGCAAAGCGGUAACAUAGCCAAUCAACGGUUCACUAGGACAAGGUGGGUUAGAGGUUUGACAUGGAAAUUGGGAGGCUGACAAGCAAAAGGUAGGCACCGUAGCAUUGGCAUAGCAAAGAGCGAGCAAACCAGCAUAGCAAAGAUAGUAGUGAUUUCGAGGGUAUGAUCAUCUUGCCUGCACAGUUGUCAGAGUUGACUGGAUCCUCACAAGCAAACUCAACGGGCUCCUCGGUAGCGAACUCGUCUCCCGGCUCUACCCAAACAAGACAAACAAGCAACAAAGAUACAAUCAACCACGUGCAAACUCAAACAACACAAUGCAAAGAUGACAUGCUAUGCGGGAUGCGAUGCGGGAUGCAAAUUGCAAGAUAUGACAGGAAAUGCAUGAACCUGGCCUCAAGUUGGAAUCCCAAGUGUGCCACUGAAAAGAUGAGAUGAAAUCGCUUGAAAACAAUAUAAAGAUCAUUGGAAUCGGAGUUACGGUUUGGAAAUGGCAAGCGUUUCAAAAAUGACACCGGUCUGUGAUUUACAGCAAGUAGGCAUCUAAAUGCAAUGAAAGGAACAUGCUACAGCCACCAAACAUGGCAACAAAAUACAUGGCAGGGAUGCACACAAGAUGCUUAACAAAAGACUAGCACUGAGCCACGGCCAAUUCAUCCAUUACGAGGUUCAAACAAGCAUGGCAAAAACGCAAAUGCAAAACAGAUUUCAGACUUAGUGAAAUUAACAGUUGUCUGAAAUUUCAGAUCACGAAGCCCUCUUCGGAGCAGCAAAACAACAUGAUACAUGACCUGAUUAAGACAAGUAAGAACAUGGCAUGGAGCUACUCAACAAGCUUAACAAAAGACCCAAAGUGACCUGGGGCCAAAAGGGUUCACAAAAUAUACUAACGGGCACACGAACAUAGCUAAAACACAAUCAGUUUUCAGACUUAGUGAAAACUUAGACAUGCUGAAAUAUAACUCACGAAGGCAUGUAAACGAGCUCGAUGCACUCACCACGGUGCAAGUCAUGGCAAGGCAAGCAUACAUCCAUAAAGAAGGCACAAAAUACAAGCUAGACAUGGCAAGAACAAUGGCAUAGCAUGCACGGAUCAACUACAAUAACAUCGGCAAAAUCGCAAACGAGUUGACGAUCUGCCCAGAUUCACCAUGAAGCAAAAGUAGAGCUCAAUUGACUCAAGCUAGGGUGCUCCAUAAUUGCAAACAAAGACAUGGAUGGAUAGAGCAUAACAUGAUUAACAAAACUCCUUUACUGAUCAUCCUCAAAAGAGGCACGGAUCACUAGGAAACAAGCUGAACAUAUGGCAUCAUGAACUAAAUAAUCCCAGACUUAGUGAAAACUACUAAGUCCCUGAAAACAGAUUUACCGGGUGCCUCACUUUGCAAGCUUGCACAAGUCACCACACACAUCCUAAAAAUGCAUGGGUUGCACCUCUGGAAAGAAGACAAAAUCCUUAACAAAACAUAUGAGGGACUCACAAGCAUAUCAUGCACACAAUAAUCAUGGCAAAAAUGACAAAAGUCUAAGAUGAACUAGCAGAUCUGACAAUUAACUCACGAAGCCUCCUUCUAACAGCAUUUUGGGCAUCAAGAUGAACUCAAAUGAAAAUGAUGCAAUGGAACGAAAUGAUGUACUCGUCGAGACGAACAUUUGGUAUACUAUAUGUCCAAAGCGGAGCUACGGAUGCAAAGUUACGGGUCCUCGAACAUGUGCAUAUGAAGCAAAAAUCUAGGGACUUGGAACAAAAAAAAACAACCCCGCGGCGGCGGACGAGGCAGGAGGCGGCGGGCGGAUCGGGCCGCACGGGGGCUGGACUUGGGCUCUGCGGGCCGGCGGCUGUUGGCGGCGGAGGGCGACACGUGGCGGCGCUGGGUUGGUCGGCGGCGGCGGCGCGAGUUGUCCGGUCGGGUCGGACACGUCCGGCCGGCGCGAGGGAAUUUUAGGGUUUCGGGGAGGAAGAAGAGAUCCGAAAAUGGGGGGUGUAUAUAUAGGCAUAAGUGGAGCUAGGAGAGUCCAAAUGAGGUGCGGUUUUCGGCCACGCGAUCGUGAUCGAACGCUCUAGGACAUGGAGCAGAGUUUGGUGGGUUUUGGGCCAAAUUGGAGGGGUGUUGGGCUGCAACACACACGAGGCCUUUUCGGUCCCUCGGUUAACCGUUGGAGUAUCAAACGAAGUCCAAAUGAUACGAAACUUGACAGGCGGUCUACCGGCAGUAAACCAAGGCCGCUUGGCAAGUCUCGGUCCAAUCCGGAAAUGUUUAAUCCCCACACACGAAAGAAAGCUAGAAAUGACCAUCGGAGGAGAACAAAGCGCCGGAAUGCAAAACGGACAAUGGGGAAAAUGCUCGAAUGCAUGAGAUGAACACGUAUGCAAAUGCAAUGCACAUGAGACAUGAUACGAGAUGCAUGACAAAGACAACAACACAUGGAGACAAAACCCGAACCCGAGGAAAUAAAUAUAGCUUAAUGCCGGAAACGGCAAUAGUUAGAGUACAAAUUGGGAAAGUUACAUCCGGGGUGUUACAUUAUAUGUAUGAUAGUAUUCAAGGUGUAUUAGUGAUAAUAUUCGACGAUGUACGGACGCAAGAGAUGAUGUACUUUUGCUUAUAAUUGAAUGCAUCCUAAUUUUAAUACUACUUUAUUUUGCGAUUUGAUUUUGCUUAUUGAAUGCUCAAAUUGGAAAACUACUCCUACUUUGAAUGCUAAAAUUGGAGGGCACUAUGCAAGGCGUAUGCAUAUGAUUAGUUGAUAGCUUAUAGGGUUUUUGUUGUCGUAGAAAUCUAGGAGCCCCCCUCCAUCAUCCCCGCCAUCGUCCCCGUCACCGACCCCCUCCGACCUCGAGGUGAGACCAGCCAAAUCCUUUUUUUAGAAAGAUAAUUAAAUGAUAUUUCAGGUUGACUUUAAGUGUGUCGAGUCUCCACCAUAUAUGAGAGGACAAAGAAGCCCGACUGUUGUUGUGGGGGUCGUUUCUCCUUAUUCUCCGGGUGCUAGACCUUUGUUAUGCACUAGGGGAAGAAGGAGUAACGACCAUCACCGACGGUCGCAAAUGUCAGAGAGGAAUCAGUGAGGGAGAGUUCCACCAUAUAUAUAUAUAUAUAUAUAUAUAUAUAUAUAUAUAUAUAUAUAUAUAUAUAUAUGAGAGGACGAAGAAUCUCGACUGUUGUCGUGGGGGUCGCUUCUCCUUCGUUCCCGUGUGCUAGACAUUUUGGUGUAAUGCACUCGGGGACAAGUGAGGAGCGACCAUCACCGAGAUUCGAAUAUAUACACCACGUGAGCUGAGAGUUUUCAAGAAAAGAUUCGACAGACCGAUAGUCAACCCGUGAUGAAUAAUAAUGAUCUAAUUUAGUUUUUGUAGUACAUAUAUUUAAUUGUACAAGUUUAAUCUUUGAAUAUAUGAACGUAGGAAAAGUCAUCAUCAGACGACCAAAGUCUCCCGGGGGAGUGCAGCUGGUGCCACGACGAUCGAGGUCUGUGCGACAUGCCUCACCUGGACGAUGAUCGGCGCUUCAGCAUUAAGCUCGAGGAGACCUUCGAUGUUGAAACGGUACGCAACGACGACAAGUGUUUUUUCGUAAUUAAGCAUGACUACAACUAUUUCAACGUGUAAUUCUCAUCUUUUACAAUUCGAGUAGCUUAUCCCAUGCCAUGCAAGGCGCUAUGUCUUGGAGAGGAUGGGUUUUGAAGACCAUGAAAGUUUUGAAACAAAGAAUAUUCACCUAAGGACUCAUCAUGAUGUGGAUUUUGAAGUAAAGUUGUACAAUUCUGAGAGCGUAACCCAUUUUGGUUGCAAAAAAUGGGAAGCACUUUGCAAGAUGUAUGGUUUUGAUGAGGGUAUAAUUGUCACCAUGGAUCUUGGUGAUCCUGAAAUCGAUCAACACAAUAUGGACAUUUGGGUCCUUCUUGAUACACCUCCAAUUCUACCGCUAUGUGAGUUUAGUUUCUCAAACAUAGUUAUUAGCUAAUUUAUAUUGUUUAUUUCAAAAUAGUUGACAACUCAUUUCCAUUGACAGCUUAUUUUCAUUCUUCAAAGAAUGUGCGGGAGAUGGUAGACAAAACCCACUACACCGAUGGCUCCGAAUUAACUUACAAGGAGAAAAAUCAUCUGAUCGGAUUUUGUACUGACAUUGAGAAUUACAAUAUCUACAAUCAAACUCCUCAACAUUAUGGUCAAUACGUGCCACUAGUGCAUGUGUUCAACUACGGUAACUACCAUGGAGAUACCCAUGUAAGAUUUUUUACUAUUACGACAUCCAUGCAUCUUUUGCAUACUUCUAAAACUAGUACAACAUUGCUAACUAUGAAGUUAUUACUAUGUUUUUCAACAGAUAAUCCCAGAGAAUUGUGUGCCUCAUUUGAUGUAUCAGAAAGGUUGCCUUAAUGUUUUGAACAUACAGCCAGGUCAUCCUACGAAUCUCAACUGUCCAUACCAGAUUUCUAAAAGGAAUGGAGACAUGCAAAUCAAAGGAUGGAAAAAAUGUAUGGACAAUCGUAAGGAGGUUCUUGGAAGCAAAAGGAAGCGAAGCGCAAGAAUUGGAGACAGGAUGAUCUCCAUUCUCCAUAAUGGAGAGUCAGGGUCUAUAUUGUUUUAUGCUAUUUUACCUUAAAGAGGGUAUUUAGGUCCUAAUUAAUACUGAUGAUCAUGUGCUAAGAACAAUUAAGUAGGGUUGGUUCGAUGACUACGAGGAUGAUGAUCGUAUGACUUGUUAUUAAUAACGAGUAGAAGUUGUAUGAUGAUGAUUAGUAGACUUGUUAUUAUAUAUGAUGAUGCAUGUGAUGCAAGCAUGAAGAGUUAUUAUAUAUCAGCGGGUGAAAUGAACAUGGAUUGGAUUGAAGUGAAGGCAACAUGCAUGUGGUGCAUGUCGAAAGUAGUACAAUCCAAACUUGAUCAAGUUAGGAUUAGUAUUACUUUCGACAUGCACCACAUGUUGCCUCACUUCAAUCUAAGUCAUGUUUAGGCAUAGUAGUAGCAGUAGCACGGAGAUAACAAAGGACACAUCCUAUUAGCUACCUAUACCAACCUAAAUUAACCCCCAAAACCCCUAAACCACCUCCUUUCAAAAAAAACCAGCCCCUAAAAUGCCGAGGCGUGGAAGCUUAUUGGUCCCGGUUGGUGCUACCAACCGGGACCAAAGGCCCUCGUGCCUGGGCUCACCGGAGUGGCCACGUGGAGGCCCAUUUGUCCCAGUUGGUAUAAGAACUGGGAAUAAAGGCCUAUGGCAUUAGUACCGACCCUUUAGUCCCGGUUCCCCAACCGGGACAGAUGGGCCUUAUGAACCAGGACAAAUGGCCCUUUUCUACUAGUGGGUAAGUCCUGUCCAUUGUGUCCCUAAGAAGGGAGGUAUCACCGUUGUUCCUAAUGGUAAAGAUGAAUUGAUCCCACAAAGAAUUAUUACAGGUUAUAGGAUGGUAAUUGAUUUCCGCAAAUUAAAUGAAGCUACUAAAAAAGAUCAUUACCCUUUGCCUUUUAUUGAUCAAAUGCUAGAAAGAUUGUCCAAACAUACACAUUUUUGCUUUCUAGAUGGUUACUCUGGCUUCUCUCAAAUACCUGUGUCAGCUGAUGAUCAAGAAAAGACCACUUUUACUUGCCCUUUCGGUACUUUUUCUUAUAGAAGUAUGCCUUUUGGUUUAUGUAAUGCACCUGCUACCUUUCAAAGAUGCAUGAUGGCUAUAUUUUCUGACUUUUGUGAAAAGAUAUGUGAGGUUUUCAUGGACGAUUUUCUCGGUUUAUGGAUCCUAUUUUGAUGAUUUCUUGAGCAACCUUGAUCGAGUUUUGCAGAGAUGUGAAGAAACUAAUCUUGUCUUGAACUGGGAGAAGUGCCACUUUAUGGUUAAUGAAGGUAUUGUCUUGGGGCAUACAAUUUCUGAAAGAGGUAUUGAAGUUGAUAAAGCUAAAGUCGAUGCUAUUGAAAAGAUGCCAUGUCCCAAGGACAUUAAAGGUAUAAGAAGCUUCCUUGGUCACGCCGGUUUUUAUAGUAGGUUCAUUAAGGACUUCUCAAAAAUUUCUCGGCCUCUGACUAACCUAUUACAAAAAGAUAUUCCUUUUGUCUUUGAUGAUGAUUGUGUAGAAGCAUUUUAAAUACUUAAGAAAGCCCUAAUUUCUGCACCUAUUGUUCAGCCACCUGAUUGGAAUUUACCCUUUGAAAUUAUGUGUGAUGCUAGUGAUUAUGUUGUAGGUGCUGUUCUAGGGCAAAGAGUUGAUAAGAAAUUAAAUGUUAUUCAAUAUGCUAGUAAAACUCUAGACAAUGCCUAGAGAAAUUAUGCUACCACUGAAAAGGAAUUCUUAGCAGUUGUAUUUGCUUGUGAUAAGUUCAGACCUUAUAUUGUUGAUUCUAAAGUAACUAUUCACACUGAUCAUGCUGCUAUUAAAUACCUUAUGGAAAAGAAAGAUGCUAAACUUAGACUUAUUAGAUGGGUUCUACUGCUACAAGAAUUUGAUUUGCAUAUUAUUGAUAGAAAGGGAGCUGAGAACCCCGUUGCAGACAACUUGUCUAGGUUAGAAAAUGUUCUUGAUGACCCACUACCAAUUGAUGAUAGCUUUCCUGAUGAACAAUUAAAUGUCAUAAAUGCUUCUUGAACUGCUCCAUGGUAUGCUGAUUAUGCUAAUUAUAUUGUUGCUAAAUUUAUACCACCUAGUUACACAUACCAGCAAAAGAAAAAGUUCUUCUAUAAUUUGAGACAUUACUUUUGGGAUGACCCACAUCUUUAUAAAGAAGGAGUAGAUUGUAUUAUUAUACGUUGUGUACCUGAGCAUGAACAGGAACAAAUCCUACGCAAGUGUCACUCCGAGGCUUAUGGAGGACACCAUGCUGGAGAUAGAACUGCACAUAAGGUAUUAAAAUCCGGGUUUUAUUGGCCCACUCUCUUCAAGGAUGCCCAUAAGUUUGUCUUGUCUUGUGAUGAAUGUCAAAGAAUUGGUGAUAUUAUUAGACGUCAAGAAAUGCCUAUGAAUUAUUCACUUAUUAUUGAACCAUUUGAUGUUUGGGGCUUUAACUAUAUGAGACCUUUUCCUUCCUCUAACGGGUAUACUCAUAUUUUAGUUGUUGUUGAUUACGUUACUAAGUGGGUAGAAGCUAUUCCAACUAGUAGUGCUGAUCAUAACACCUCUAUUAAGAUGCUUAAAGAAGUUAUUUUUCCGAGGUUUGGAGUCCCUAGAUAUUUAAUUACUGAUGGUGGUUCACAUUUUAUUCAUGGUGCUUUUCGUAAAAUGCUUGCUAAGUAUGAUGUUAAUAAUAUAAUUGCAUCUCCUUAUCACCCACUGUCUAGUGGUCAAGUAGAAUUGAGUAACUGAGAGCUCAAAUUAAUUUUGCAAAAGUCUGUUAAUAGAUCUAGAAAGAAUUGGUCCAAGAAACUUGAUGAUGCAUUAUGGGCUUAUAGAACUGCAUAUAAAAAUCCUAUGGGUAUGUCUCCGUAUAAAAUGGUUUAUGGUAAAGCAUGUCACUUACCUCUUGAAUUAGAACAUAAGGCAUAUUGGGAUAUUAAAGAACACAACUAUGACAUCAAACUUGCUGAUGAGAAGAGGCUUUUUGACAUUAGCUCACUUGAUGAUUGGAGAACCCAGGCUUAUGAAAAUGCCAAGCCGUUUAAAGAAAAAGUUAAAAGAUGGCAUGAUAAAAGGAUACAAAAGCGUGAGUUCAAUGUAGGUGAUUAUGUAUUGCUAUACAACUCUCGUUUAAGAUUUUUUGCAGGCAAACUUCUCUCUAAAUGGGAAGGUCCUUACGUUAUCGAGGAGGUCUAUUGUCACAGCCCUAGCUCAGCCCCUGUUGCCUUUGCUUGUUCCUCAUGUCAUCAUGUUUACAAUUUAAAUAAACUUGAAAUGGGGAUUGAUCAAACCCUAGCACCUAAAAGAAAUCAAAUAGGUUCAAAUAAAAUCUUUUUCAAAGAACCCAAAAUGCCUUUGAAAAUGAUCAUUAUUUUUGUUAAAGGUGAAAACCUCUGCCAUAAAUGAUGCAAAUAUUUUCAAGCCAUUCUGGAUAUUUGAAUUAAUUCAUAAAGUAUUUGAAUUGGGGCAUUUAAUUGCUAUACAUAUUAUUAAAUGCUCCACAAUUCUGAAAAUAGCUAAGGGCCUCUUAGAAAAUUCAGUUAUUGCCCAUAAUUAAUUUCAGAAUUUAUAGAAAUGAUUUGGUGUUUUUACUAAAUCAAAAACAAAUUGCAAAAGUAGAAAACAGAAAAAAUGGAAAGGCAGAAGACUUACCAGGUCCUUACCUGGCGCCCACCAACCGGCCCAGCACCCUAGCAGGCCGGCCCAGCCCAGCAGGCCCAGGUGCCAGUCGUCCCCAACCUCCUGCCAGUGGGCAGGAGGGCGCGUGCUGUCGCGCGCUGGCCACGCGCCGGGCCACCUCCUGCUUCCCACCGCUUCCUCGAUGCCCUGGGGGCGCCACGCAGACCCUUGGACCCCCUCGUCCGCUCCCCUCUCUCCCUGCCUCGUCUCUCUCCCUCUCUCUCUCGAACCCGAGCGCAGCCGUCACCGCUGACUAGCACCGCCGUGGCCACAGCCAUUGCCUCGCCUCGCCAACACGCUCAGAGGCUCCGCCUGGUCCCCCUCUUCCUCCUCGCCAUGCCACGCAAGGCGAGGAUCACCAUUGGUCCCGGUUCGUCUGGACCUUUUGGUCCCGGUUGGUGGACCGAACCGGGACCAAUGGGCCUCGCUCCUGGCCCACCACCAUUGGUCCCGGUUGGUGGCUUAAACCGGGACCAAAGGCUUCCCUUUAGUCCCGGUUCAUGUCAUCAACCGGGACCAAUGAGGUGCCUAUAUAUACGCGCAAGAGCAGAGCACAGUGCUCUGUUUUUUCUGGCCGAGGGGGAGAGGGCUUUGUGGUGCUCUAGCUCACCUCCUAUGCACAUGAGGUGUUCGAUGGAAUGCCCGAGCCACACUACUUAAGCUUUCUCCUCUCGAAGCUCGACCUCCAAGCUCCAUUUUCCUCGAGAUUUGUCUACAUUUAGCGGUCCGUUACGCCCCGUCCCUGUCUUCACCGCCGUCGAUCACCCGCGCCGAUCUCAUCACCGACACCACCAUGGUGAGCGUAUUGUUCUUAUCUUCUUUCUGAAAGGAAAAAUAUUCUUACUUGUAUGUUUAGAUAGAUACUUGUAUCAUUUUCUUACAUUUAUUAUUGCAUCUUAUAUAGUGCGAUGGUUUUGGUAUCCGCCCCCGUCGGCCCUCGUCCUGUCUAUGAUUCGGAUUUGGUAUGUAUAUUAUCUUUAUAACUAUUGGUUCAUUUAUUGUUUAUGAAAAUUAUGCCGACCAACGUGACAUAGAUUUUAUUUAUCUAGGAUGUAUGUGAAUCGGAAAUGCCAAGCGACCCUAUUGUCGAUAGGUUAAAUUUAGUUGAAGAAGAAAACAAUUUGUUGAAGGAAAAAAUAAAAAAAAUUGAGGAGGAGAAGAUGAUAUUGGAGUUGCAUGUUGCGGAUGUCGUCGAUGAUCACAAGAUCAAGAUGGAUGCAAUGCGCUUGAAGAUUAGAAAGAUUAGAAAAUAUGCCAUUCAUACCGAGGCUUGGUAUCAUUAUGUCGUUGGAUCAAUUGUUACCUUGGUUGCGAUUAUGAUCGCAUUUGUUUUCGCAUUGAAAUGUUUUACAUAGUUUCAAUGUAUGGUUUAAUUAAUUAGAUGCUCUUGAGAGCUAUAUGUUGUUAGAUGAGAACUAUGUAUGCACUUUGGUUUUAAUGUGAUGAUGAACUUCUAUUAAUUUGGACACUUAAUUAUAUAUAAUGCACGCAGAUGAACCGGCAAUGGAUGUACGGUGACAGACACACCCGCGAAUACAUUAAGGGCGUGCAUGAGUUUCUCGAUGCGGCUGAGGCAAACAAGCAGAAUGGUUUUAUGUGUUGUCCAUGCACUGAAUGUGGGAAUACGAGGUCUUACUCUAACCGGAAAAUCCUUCACUCCCACCUGCUUUACAAGGGUUUCAUGCCACACUAUAAUGUUUGGACGAGGCACGGAGAAAUAGGGGUUAUGAUGGAAGACGGCGAAGAAGAAGAGUAUGAUGACAACUAUGUGCCCCCUGAAUACGGUGAUGCUGCAACGGGGGGAGCUGGUGAAGAUCAAGAGGAACCAGACGAUGUGCCCAAUGAUGCUGCCACGGGUGAAGCUGCUGAAGAUCAAGAGGAACCAGACGAUGUGCCCGAUGAUGAUGAUCUCCGCCUGGUCAUUGUCGAUGCAAGGACGCAAUGCAUUAGUCAAAAGGAGAAGCUGAAGUUCGAUCGCAUGUUAGAGGAUCACAAAAAAGGGUUAUACCCCAAUUACGAAGAUGGCAACACAAAGCUCGGUACCAUACUGGAAUUGCUGCAGUGGAAGGCAGAGAAUGUUGUGGCUGACAAAGGAUUUGAGAAGCUACUGAAAAUAUUGAAGAAGAAGCUUCCAAAGGAUAACGAAUUGCCCGACAGUACAUACGCAGCAAAGAAGGUCGUAUGCCCUCUAGGAUUGGAGGUGGAGAAGAUACAUGCAUGCCCUAAUGACUGCAUCCUCUACCGCGGUGCAUACAAGGAUCUGAACGCAUGCCCGGUAUGCGGUGCAUUGCGGUAUAAGAUCAGACGAGAUGACCGUGGUGAUGUUGACGGCGAGCCCCUCAGGAAGAGGGUUCCUGCGAAGGUGAUGUGGUAUGGUCCUAUAAUACCAUGGUUGAAACGUCUGUUCAGAAACGAAGAGCAUGCCAAGUUGAUGCGAUGGCACAGUGAGAACCGAAAGAAAGAUGGGAAGUUGAGAGCACCCGCUGACGGGUCGCAGUGGAGAAAAAUCGAGAGAAAGUACUGGGAUGAAUUUGCAAAGGACCCAAGGAAUGCAUGGUUUGCUUUAAGCGCGGAUGGCAUUAAUCCUUUCGGGGAGCAGAGCAGCAAUCACAACACCUGGCCCAUGACUCUAUGUAUGUAUAACCUUCCUCCUUGGAUGUGCAUGAAGCGGAAGUUCAUUAUGAUGCCAGUUCUCAUCCAAGGCCCUAAGCAACCCAGCAACGAAAUUGAUGUGUACCUAAGGCCAUUAGUUGAAGAACUUUUACAGCUGUGGAAUGGAAACGGUGUACGUACGUGGGAUGAGCACAGACAGGAGGAAUUUAACCUUAAGGCGUUGUUGUUCGUGACCAUCAACGAUUGGCCCGCUCUCAGUAACCUUUCAGGACAGACAAACAAAGGAUACCACGCAUGCACGCACUGUUUAGAUGACACUGAAAGUAUAUACCUGGACAAAUGCAGGAAGAAUGUAUACAUGGGCCAUCGUCGAUUUCUUCCGACCAACCAUCAAUGUCGAAAGAAAGGCAAGCAUUUCAAAGGCGAGGCAGAUCACCGGAAGAAGCCCGCCAUGCGCACAGGUGAUCACGUGCUUGCUAUGGCCAAUGAUUUACACUACGUAAUCUUUGGAAAGGGUCCCGGUGGACUAGCUGUUCUGAAUGACGCUGAGGGACAUGCACCCAUGUGGAAGAAGAAAUCUAUAUUUUGGGACCUACCCUACUGGAAAGACCUAGAGGUCCGCUCCUCAAUCGACGUGAUGCACGUGACGAAGAACCUUUGCGUGAACCUGCUAGGCUUCUUGGGCGUGUAUGGGAAGACAAAAGAUACACCUGAGGCACGAGAGGACCUGCAACGUUUGCACGAAAAAGAUGGCAUGCCUCCGAAGCAGUAUAAAGGUCCUGCCAGCUACGCUCUUACGAAAGAAGAGAAAGAAAUCUUCUUUGAAUGCCUGCUCAGUAUGAAGGUCACGACUGGCUUCUCGUCGAAUAUAAAGGGAAUAAUAAAUAUGCCAGAGAAAAAGUUUCAAAACCUAAAGUCUCAUGACUGCCACGUGAUUAUGACGCAACUGCUUCCGGUUGCAUUGAGGGGGCUUCUACCGGAAAACGUUCGAUUAGCCAUUGUGAAGCUAUGUGCAUUCCUCAAUGCAAUCUCUCAGAAGGUGAUCGAUCCAGAAAUCGUACCAAGGCUAAGGAGUGAUGUGGCGCAAUGUCUUGUCAGUUUCGAGCUGGUGUUCCCACCAUCCUUCUUCAAUAUCAUGACGCACGUCCUAGUUCAUCUAGUCGACGAGAUUGACAUCCUGGGGCCCGUAUUUCUACACAAUAUGUUCCCCUUUGAGAGGUUCAUGGGUGUCCUAAAGAAAUAUGUCCGUAACCGCGCUAGGCCAGAAGGAAGCAUCUCCAUGGGCCAUCAAACAGAGGAUGUUAUCGGGUUUUGUGUUGACUUCAUUCCUGGCCUUAACAAGAUAGGUCUCCCUAAAUCGCGGUAUGAGGGGAGACUGACUGGAAAAGACACUCUUGGAAGAGACUCAAUAAUAUGCAGGGACGGAUAUUCUUGGUCUCAAGCACACUACACAGUUCUACAGAACUCUACCUUGGUGACCCCGUAUGUCGAUGAACACAAGAACAGUCUGCGCUCCAAACACCCGGAGCAGUGCGACGACUGGAUUACAUGUGAACACAUCAGGACUUUCAGCAGUUGGUUGGAAACACGUCUCAGAGGUGACAACACUGUUUGUGAUGAGUUGUACUUGUUGUCCAGGGGACCAUCUUUGACUGUAUUAACUUACAAAGGAUACGAGAUAAAUGGGAAUACAUUUUACACGAUCGCCCAAGAUCAAAAGAGCACCAACCAAAACAGCGGUGUCCGCUUUGAUGCAGCAACCGAGAGCGGAAAGGACACAUAUUAUGGUUACAUAGUGCACAUAUGGGAACUUGACUACGGACCUGAUUUUAAGGUCCCUUUGUUUAAGUGCAAAUGGGUCAAUCUGUUAGGCGGCGUGGUACAGGUAGACCCACAGUACGGAAUGACAACAGUGGAUCUGAAAAAUCUUGGGUACACUGACGAACCGUUCGUCCUAGCCAAUGAUGUGGCACAGGUUAUCUAUGUGAAGGACAUGUCUGCCAAACCAAGAAAAAGAAAAGAUAAGAAAGCGAAUACAUCAUACGAUGAGCCAAAGCGCCACAUAGUUCUUUCAGGAAAAAGGGACAUCCUGGGAGUGGACGGCAAGACAGACAUGUCUGAAGAUUAUGAAAAGUUUCAUGAAAUUCCUCCCUUCAAUGUCAAGGCUGACCCAAGCAUCCUGAUAAACAAUGAAGAUUAUCCAUGGUUACGGCGCAAUAAGCAAAUGACACAAGCGAAGAAAAAGUGAAGACUUUCUCCCGCAACUAUUAUGAUGAUACCAUGCCAAAUUUGUAACAGACGAACAUGCUACCAUUAUCCGUUUUGUACAUGCACAUGCUAUGUGGGUGAAAUUAUGAUACCAUCCCAACUUUCAACUUUUUCAGAGUUCAUUUGAAAUGCUUUCAUGUCUUAUGGUUCGAAACUUUGAUACUUCGAAAGUGAUUGUCCAUUUUGUACAGGAAGUGCAUCAAGUUUUUGUCGUAACCCUCUCUACUUUUUGGAACAUGCUAUGUGGGUGAAAUGAUGAUACCAUGCCAACUUUCAACCUUUUCAGAGUUCAUUUUGAAAUGCUUUCCAAUUUCAGAGUCAUUUAGCUCAAAGAAUGAAUUAAUAGCAAACAGAAUGAACUACAAAACUUUUAUAAAAAUAAAAACAAUCAAUUAAAAUAUUAUGUUAUGAUCAACUAAAAUAAAACUAUAAUAUUCUUCAAUAGCAAAAAGAAUAUAAUUUUUGUGACCUAAAAUCAAACCAGUGAUUCACACAAAUUUUUAAAAAUUAAAAUUUAAACUAUUCAAAAUUUAAAACUAAUGGCACUAACAGAAAGUUUAUAAUUUUUGUGACCUAAAAGCAAAAAGAAAUCACUAAAAAACUGUAAGUAUUUAGUUGUAAGUAGAAAUAAAAAAUAAAUAGAAAAAAAAUUCUAUUUUUAUAGUAAAGUUAUUCAUAAACUAGUGAUUCACACAAAUUUUUAAAAAUUCAAAUUUAAACUAUUCAAAAUUUAAAACUAAUGGCACUAACAGAAAGUUUAUAAUUUUUGUGACCUAAAAUCAAAAAGAAAUCACUAAAAAACUAUAAGUAUUUAGUUGUAAGUAUAAAUAAAAAAUAAAUAGAAAAAAAUGCCUCCUACUGGGCCUCCACGGCCUGAAUAUGACUAGAAACCCUACAUGGGCCAAGAUUCAGGCCCGCAGAAGGCCCAAUAGGCCCACAGGCAGUAGCAAGUUUAGGCCCGAAAGCCUGCAUUAGAGAGGAGCUCGAAUGGGGAGGCACACCAGCGCUUAUAAACCAGUGCCGGCGCCCUUUAGCUAGUGAUGUGGGACUAAACUUUUGGGCGCGGGGCAGCACAAGGCCAUUGGUCCUGGUUGGUGGCACCAACCUGGACUAAAGGGGGCAUUGGUCACGGUUCGUGGCCCCAACCGUGACCAUUGCCCCCCUUUAGUCCCGGUUGGUGCCACCAGCAGGGUCAUCUAGGGGUCGAGGGUUCCAGGGUCGUCGAUGGAUCGAGGGGUCGAGGAUCGCCGAGGGGUCGAGAGAGGUUUCCUAGUGUCAAAGUAUUGAAGAAAUCCAUGCCUUCAUCAUUAGCCGGAAGUAACCAGGGCAUGUUGGUACGAAGUUCUGCAAAGUUGUUCUAGAAUGGAGUCCCGGAUAGAAUAAUCCGCCUUUUGGUACGAAUUCGGCAAAGGCCUUCCAAAUAGCGAUAUUCGGAAGGCUCUUGCUGAACUUUGUACCAAAAAGCGAAUUAUCCUAUCUGGGACUCCGUUCCAGAACAACUUUGAAGAGCUUCGUACCAUCAUGCACAUGUUACUUUCGCCUAAUGAUGAAGACAUGGUUUUGUUGAAUCCUUUGACACUAGGCAACCUCCCGACACCUCGGCGAUCCUCUCGAACAUGAGAGGAAGAAGAGGGUCAUCUAGGGGUCGAGGGUUCGAGGGUUCUUCUCCUCUAUUCUUUCUUCUCCUCUUUUUUUUCUUCUUCUUCCUCUUUUUUUUAUCGGGAACGAGGGUCGUCGAGGGACAUAGAUGUAGUGUCAUCGUUGUCGAUAUAUACCCCCUCCCGAUAGCUUACUAUGAUUAGGUAGCUAGUUCUACGUUUGGCACUAAUAUAUCCAUCUGUCAUGUUUGAAUAAUAAUUGCCAUGUUGUAAAUAUUUGUAGAAACUAUGGACACCGCCCUAGACGAAGCAACAAAAGAAGCGUUGUUGAGGGACAUAAUCGCAGAAGGAAGUGAUGCCAUCUCGUUGUUUCUCAACGAAACCGAUGGUCUGGAAGGAGAGGGUGAACAAGAUGGCUACGGUGACCUAAUGCCGGUGCAAGAAGAAGAACAUGAGGACGGCUCCGGUGACCCAAUGCCGUUGCAAGAAGGAGACCGUGAUGACGGCUCCGGUGACCGAACCGAGUCCGGCCAGGUAUAUAUAUUAGUUAAGCCUAUGCUGACUAGCUGAUUGAUGCAUUCAUUGUUUUGGUAUGUACACAUAUUAAUUAAGUCUUUGUUCUUUUUUCUAGCCCUCCGGAUCGAGCACAACUUCGGUAAAGAGACGAGGCCCGAAGAAAAAGUUGAGCUCGGAUGAAAAGUUUGAGAUCAUAGCAAUCGCGCCCGACGGCCAACCUAUUGAACCCCUCCGGACAAAGAGCGCAUUUGUUGCUCAGUGUGGGGUUCUAGUUAGGGACAAGAUCCCGAUAAGCAUCCAGCAAUGGUUUAAGCCGACUACAGAAGACCCUGAGGUCUCUUAUGGCAAUGAUAUGCAGAAAAAUGAUCUUUGGACUGAGCUGAAGUCAAAUUUCACCCUACCGCCUGAGGAUAAUCCAGAGAACCCAGUUAAAGAGAAAUUAAUCAAGUCUUUUGCUCUGAAGAGGAUGGCAGAACUAUUCAGGAGGUGGAAGAAAGAGUUGAAUAAGUUUGUCGAAAAUAAUGAGACACCAGAAUUCAAGGGCAGAUAUGAGAAGAUCAGAGAUCACUGGCCCGCAUUUGUGGCCCACAAGACAUCGGAAAAGAGUCAGAAGAUGUCGGCGACAAACAAGCAAAAUGCUGCGAAGAAGAAGCUUCACCAUCGCACGGGGUCAGGUGGCUACCUUGUAGCCCGGCCUAAGUGGUCCAAGACUGAGAAUGAUCUGGUUCAUAAAGGGAUCGAACCAGAGACAAUUAACUAGCCAGAACGUUGCCGGACUUGGUUCUUCGGGGCUGGCGGAACCCUGGACCCUGUAACAGGGAAGUGCAUUUGGACGAACGAUCAAAUGGACAUACCAGUCAGUAAGCUUAAGCAGUAUAUCGAAGUAGCGCAGGAAGGGACGUUCUUUCCAGACAGAGAGAACGACGAGCUCACAAUGGCCCUCGGGAAUCCUGAGCACCCUGGACGGACACGAGGCACGCCAGGCUCCAUUCCGUGGAAGGUUGGGUUUCCGGACGCAGGCGGUUACAAAUCCCAUGAGAGGAGGAAAAAAGUGCAGCAGACCCAAAUGCAGGCGCUGCAAGCAAGGGUAGACGCGAUAGAGGAACGAGAAGCAAAUCGCAGCAAACGUACUGCCGAAGCCUCCCCCGAAGCUACCCCGCCAUCUCAGCGCAGAAGCAGCGUGGCUUCCACCGAGCUGCUUCAGCCGGAGCAUGCCUUGACGGCUCCUGCCAGCUAUCCCGUGGAUGCUAUAACGGAGUAUCAAAAUUGCCACCUUAUGACGCAAUGGAUGAAUUUGAAGGUCAAGGCGGCUGUUGGCUCUGUUUAUCCUACUGAACCCGGCGCAACUUUUCACUGCCGGCCGAUUCCAGAAGGAUAUGUUAGGGUAAUGGUGGAUGAGAUAACAGAGGGAUUUGAGGACCUCCAGCUUAACCACCCUACCGGUGAAGGGGAGACUUGGCUGGGGUCUGCUCUGAAGACUCCAUGCCUAUGGCGGAAGGAGCUCAUCAACCUUUCGAACUGGACGCCACCGCCUCCUCCUCCUCCUCCGGCGAGUCAGGGCACUCCGCCUCCACCGCCUCCUCCUCCGGCGAGUGACGAUCAGGGCCCUCGGCCGGCUCCUUCUCCGGCGCGUGGCGGCACUCCGCCUCCUACUCCGCCUGCGCCGACGCGCCCGAGCAGCCAGCCUCCUCCUUCUCCGCCUCGUCAGCAAGCGCGGAAGAGACCUACCGCCGCUCCAGCUGCUCCGGCGCGUCGUAGUCCUUCUCCUCCGCCUCUUAAGCAAGUAAAGAAGACAACCGCUACAUCUGCUCGGUCGGCGUCUAGCAGUACAACCAGAGGCGGGAGGACAUACAGAUUCGGUCCUUCUCUGAAGACUCCAGAGAAGUUACCAUAUGAGAGGACCCUGGAGGAGAACGCCGAGAUCGCGCGAGAAGAAGUGAGGAACUUCUUUGAAGGGGUGAAAGCAAAGAAACAUCCACCUCCAGAGGAGAAGGUAGAUCGGGUGAAAGUGAAGCGCACUCUGGCUGCCCUGACAAAACCACCGAAGUUUGAUCCGCCAAAAGGAAACUAUGACCGCAUUAUUGGAAAGGAAUUUGCCGAAGCGGAGCGGUCGGGAAGUACUGUCAGUGAUCAAAGGCUGAAAGAACGACGAGCUGGGAAACAAAUUGCCCAGCUCGGCGAACAGGCGAAGCAAUCGUGCCCCCCGCUCAAGGUGCCUAGCCACAACGUCGCUAAUGAUCCGAGGAUGGUGCCCGGUUAUAGCAAUCUUGCAGAUUACCUGCCCGACGAAGUACAUUAUGAACCCAUGGACGUGCAGAUACAAAGAUACGAGUACGGGAAGCCUCUCAUCAAAGAUGAAAGAUCUCUAUCAACGAUGAUGCGAAGAUUGCAUGAUUGGUACUUGAAAAUCUGCAGAGACUCUGGGGGGAGGAGUACUUUGUAUGUGAAAGUUAAAAAGGAGCAUGACCUCGUUGGAAUUGAUCUGUUGUCUGUUCCAUUUGAGGAGUUCUAUCAGUUUUUCAAUCAAUUGGCCCUCGAUAAAACAACGGUCGCCUGCUACUAUCUGUAAGUAGUACUACUUCUGUCAUUAAGUUUCUCUAUAUAGCUUAGCUCUUUCAUUGCAUGUAUUUAUGAUCAUCCUCACUAUAUUAUGCAGAUUGAAGAUCGCCGAAUUGAAGAAAAGACAAGUCGGUGAUAGGGUUCAUUAACACAUAUCUCAUAGAUGCAACUGAGGUUAAACUUCAUGCCGCAGCUACCGAGGCCAACUUGCUACGAUCGUUCGUAAUAAAUCAAAACAAAGAUAUAAUACUCUUUCCUUACAACUUCAGGUGAGUGUUACUGUCUUGUGCGUAUUCGGUUUCCCUUAUAUAUUAGUCAAGGUUAUAGUAAUGUAAUUGAUGAGUUAUGCAUGUGUGUGCAGUUUCCACUAUAUUCUCCUAGAGAUUAAGCUUGAGCAGGGAGUAGUAACUGUUUUAGACUCUAAACAAAAAGAUCCCCAGGACUAUGCAGACAUGACUCAAAUACUCCAGAAGUAAGUUAAAUCGAUCAUUAUCCACCAUAUCAACAACUUUGUUCAUUUCCUGAUAUCAAGUAAUUGUUUUCUUUGUCCGACAGGGUUUGGAGAAAAUUCACCAAAACAGUUCCGGGACUGCCGAAGGAGCAGGAAUUUAGACACCCGAAAGUAAGUACUAUAGUAGCAUGUUCCGCGCAUCUCCUAGUGAUUCAAGCACUAGUUUCAUCAAUACCAUUUAGCAUUCUUACUUAUCAGUUUGAUUGACCUCUAUUUCUUGUAAAGUGGUUGUGGCAGGAACAAGGGAAUGAUUUCUGUGGAUACUACAUCUGCGAGUCCAUCCGCCACACGACCUGUGAGCGGGGCGGGUACUCUAACGAACAAUAUGAAGUACGUAAAUAACAACAUUCACAAUUUUAUUUUAUUACCAUCAUUUGUGUUGAGUUUCAUUCAUUCAUAUAUAUAUGUAUUGACCCCCUUCUUCAAAUUAGAUGUUUCGGAAGCGGGAUGAACUCCUAGCACCAUCUUGCAUGCGAGCAAUUCAAGAGGAAUUGGCGGCAUUCUUUCUUGACCACGUGAUCCCUGAAGACGGAGAAUUCUAUGUGGACCCUGAGUCCGUAUGAUUAUAUUUGUAAGAGAUAAUUAUUGUAUAUAUGUAGCCGGUAGUGUCAGAUAGAUAUACGAGAACUUGUUGUUCGACCAAUCUCUCGGAGAAGGAGAGGUGGUCGAUAUCACUUCUCUCUGUAUGCAUAUAUGUUCAUGACGAUCUUCUGUUUCCUUCGUUUGCUUACUACCUAGCCAGCGUGUCUAGUCCUCUCUAUACGUAUGUAUAGUACGUAGCGUCGACCAAGCACGGACAUAAGAGAGGACACUUCUCUCUAUUAAUUAUAGCUAGCUAACACAAUAUAUGAAACACCUAAAUUAACCCCCCAAAACCCCCAACCCCCCCCCUUAAAAAAAACAAAAACCCCAGCCACAUAAAUGCUGACGCGUGGAUGCCUAUUGGUCCCGGUUGAUGCCACCAACCGGGACAAAGGGUCUCCUGACUGGGCUCUGCGCACUGCCCACGUGGAGGGCCUUUAGUCCCGGUUCUGGAUUGAACCGGGACUAAAGGGGGGAGGUAUUAGUACCGACACUUUAGUCCCGGUUCCGGAACCGGGACUAAAGGCCCUUACGAACCGGGACUAUAGGCUCUUUUUCUACCAGUGCAUUUGGACGGUUGUGAGAGAUUUUUGAGUCCGCCUUGGGGAUUCCCUAACUAUUACUCCCCCAGUCCCAUAAUGUAAGAGAAUUUUUAACACUAGAUUAUUGGAUGGAGGGAGUAUCAAACAAGUUUAUAUUCAAUAAUAAAACCUGAGUGUAUACAAGAUUAUUUUGACCUUUAACUUUAACACCGAGCAUUUUGCUCCGUAACCUUAAUCAAAGUGGUCUGGUUGUUCACACAACACUUUUGUUUUUGUACAAAUGACAACCUAUGCAAUCAAAAAAAGAUGUAAGGGCAUCUUCAAAGGUGACCCAUAGAUUUUCUCCCGCAUUCGUUCGUGGACAGGGGUACCAGUCCGCGGACACGGAUGCCGGAGACCGCCAUUCAGUACGAACAAACUUGACAAAAUUCAUUCAAACCGGGUGGAUUUCACUGAAGUUCGGAUAUAAUUUACAUAAAAGGUCCAUAUUUCGACCAUUUAACAAAAAACUAGAAAAAAUAUCCAAAACACUAUACCAGACAACCACCUCGUACACAUGGCCGCCCUGCCCUGCCACGCCGCUGUCACCCUUUGUGCCGCCUCGUCGUUGUCGUCCCUCCAGCGGCGGAACGCCACCGGAGGGCCACGACAACCUUGUCCGGUGGCUGCCUGCCACUCAUGUAGGAGUCACUCCGCCUCCUGCUACGCUGGGUGGAGUGCCACCGCGACCGCUGCCGAUGUUGCCUUCGGACCCCAAGUGGUGACUUCGCCGCUACCGGCGUUGGCGGAGCAGUUGCGAAGCACCCAUUCCUUGCCUAUGUGUGCAAGCUCGCCUUCAAGCAGCGGCGGCGCUUGGCGGCCAUCUCCGCACUGGUCACGGAGCGGUCGAUUUCCCACACAGCGGUGAGGUCAGGGUCAUUGCGGACCCAAUCCGAUGCCACGUUACUCUUGGCGAACGCGGAGCGGCGACCGGCGUUGUGCCGGUCGUACCUCGCCUGCUGCCUUGUCGCAUGUUCCGCCUCAGAUACAAUGGCCCUCGAGCCCGAGGGACCGCUAUAACCACCUCUUCCAAGGUAGUGGAGGAGGUGGACACACGCCUUCUUGAUUCUGGGUGGCGGGUCCUCUAAGACGGGGAGGUGGCGACGGCGCGGCGGCGACAAGUGCACGUCCAUGCGGCUGUACCGACUAAGUGGCGAGGACGCUGGCUCCUCCUUGACCCAGGGCGAUGACGUCUUGUCAUUCAUGCGGCGUCCGAUUUGGGCGCCGCGGUUGUGCUGGGGCAAGGCCGGCUCGUCCUUCAUAGGUCGGAGCGGAGACGCCGGCUCACGCUUCACGCAGUGGUGUGGCAAGGACGCCGGCUCCUGCUUGACGUGCACCGGCGAUGGUGGCGACGGGCCCUUAUGAUGGUGCCACCACUCUGUCAUUAUCUCGAUCUAACGGACCACAUCUCUAUCCGUCAGAGCGGCUUUCUUAAGGUGUCUUGGACUAGGGGGUACUCACCACGCCAUCUUCCAAUCAGUUAGAUUGGGCUGAGGACCCCAUGGCCGUAUGCUCAUGGGCCAGUUCGGACAGCCGAUGUAUACACAAGGAAGAUUCCACAAGACUUGGUGAUCAAGACAAGGACUCCUCUCCACCGGCGUAUUCGACUAGGACUCCUGUUAUCCUAGGCCUCUAGUGCAUUAUAUAAGCCGAGGCCAGGCUAGUCGGUAGAUUAUUAUGACAUUAGUCAUCAUACAUGUAGGGUUUAGACCACAACAUACGAUCUCGAGGUAAAUCAACUCUUGUAACCCCUAUACUCAUCAAAGUCAAUCAAGCAGGAAGUAGAGUAUUACCUCCAUCAAGAGGGCCCGAACCUUGGUAAACAUCGUGUCCCCUGUCUCCUGUUACCAUCGAUCCUUAGACGCACAGUUCGGGGCCCCCUAACCUAGAUCUGCCAGUUUUGACACCGACAGCGACGGCGACAAGUGCACGUCCAUGCGGCUGUACCGGCUGCGCGGCUAGGACGCUGGAUCCUCCUUCACCCAGGGGCGAUGACGGCUUGUCAUUCAUGCAACGUCCGAUUUGGGCGACGCGGUUGUGCUGGGGAAGGCCGGCUCGUCCUUCAUAGGCCGGAGCGGGGACGCCGGCUCACGCUUCACGCAGUGGCGUGGCGAGGACGCCGGCUCCUGCUUGCCGUGCACCGGCGAUGGUGGCGACGGGCCCUUGUGAUGGUGCGACCACUCUGUCAUUAUCUCGAUCUAACGGACCACAUCUCUAUCCGUCAGAGCAGCUUUCUUAAGGAGUCGGGGCGGCUGCUGCUACGGUGCCUGGUCCUGCUCGUCGCCAGACGAUAUGACGAUCUCCUCCUUCGCGUAGGAGCCAACCGUCGUGGAUGCCGAUGGGUCCGGAGAGUGUGUGUAGCGACGCCAGAACCGUCAGGGGAGGAGCUUGGGCCGAACAUGGGGAAGGGGAGGGGGCGGUGCUCGGGGAGGGGGAGUUCGGCUCUGUGCGUCCCUGACCACGGCUUAAAUAGCCGCGGCCAAGCCAGGCUAAGGGUGGUCAGCCUGCUUCAAUGUGGUGCAGUGGCCGAAGUUGGUUCCUUGGGACGCGGCGUCCACAUUGAAACGGCUAUGCCCGAAAGGUCGCGUCUGUCAGCGUCGCCCUCCCGUCCGGUCAAAUCGCAGCAUCAAUGUCGGCUGAUGCAUGCUCUGGGCCAGCAUGAAUGCGGCGCGGCAAGUGGGCGCUCUUUGAAAAGCGCAGGAGAUGUGGCGGGUUUUUUUUGGUAGGCCAGUCAGACGCAGGCUUGGAAGCAGCCGAGACGCCUGCAAAGGCCCCCCACGUUUGUCACCGGUUUGCGGGAGAAAGUACAUUCGGACCGUCUUGUGAACCGAUACAGACCGGCAUUGGAUAACACAACACGUUCAUUCGUUCAAACCAUGCGGUUCGAACGGUUGUGGGCAAUUUGAGAGUCGCCGUUGGAGAUGCCUUAAAGGAUGCUAAGAAAAUGUAUGGACAAAGAUGACAAAAAUUAUGUGUGUGAGGAGAGAAGGUUAAGUGAGAGCGGUAGAAGAUUACGUGUGUGAGGAUAGAUAAGAUGACAAAAUUAUGUGCGUGAUCAUACAAGAUCUGUACAAGAUUAAUCAACCGACUGCGUGCCUGCACAGGAGUUGAACUAAAAUAUCAAUUUGUUGGGUGAGCGUCGAACGGGAGCUGUACAAAUAUUUUGUCUUUCUCACUUGACUAUGACUUGGUAGCUAGGUAACUACUCUCUCAAUUGAGAAAACCUUCGUCACUUACCAUGCCUACAUGUAUACGUAUGCACACACGAUUGUUAUCAAGAAACAUAUUUUCUCAGUCAUGAUAGAAAAUAAAGAGAUUUUGUCAAUCUUUUUCAGUGCCAAAGGUGCUGAGGUAAUCAGGAUAAUUAACCUGCAACGACUUGACGAAGUAAUUAAGCUUUGUUAAUAUAUUGAGUUCCGUACAUUUGUAGUUAAGUAGAUUAAUUAAAUAAAAUGUAUUUUGAAAUCUGCAGUAUUUAGAGCAUCUACAACCAUAAACACCAAAAUCCGGCCACCAAACGCAGGUGGGCGUCUCCGUGGCCAGGCAGCACAAAAAUUUGAUUCCACAAAUAUGAACACCAUUUGAUCGCUGCCUGACGCCCCCCCUAACCCUAGCAGCCACCUCCUCCUAAUCUCGUCGCCAUCGCCGGAUCACCGCUAGACAAAGGUUGGCGGUGGAUGACGUUGGUGGCUGGGCCUUCCUCUGUGGUCGCUGUAGGGCGCGGCCAUGGCGGAUUCUGGUGCAGGUCCCAUUGAUUUCUGACUACCCAAUUUGAUUUAUUCUUCUCAAUUCUCAAGUGAUAAACGAAAUAAGAAAUAUUGUACUUCUUUCGAUCCUUAUUAAUUGUCGUCGAUUUAGUAUAAUUAUUUUCACAGUUGUAGCAUCAGUCUUUGUUUGCAUUUGCAAAUCUGCAAUCUUCAUUUCCUCGUGUUUGCUUCCCUGCUUUCACCGUCCAGUGUUGACGUGCCUUGUUUUCUUAAGCAUGUUUAUUAAUAUUAAUAUUGCCGGUAAGAGCCUCGAAGGUUUCGUCACUUUUUGUCUCUGCGUCUUACCACAUCGAUCGGAUCAGCUUUGAACAAGGGCAACCACUACUAUAUGUGUCAAUUCCUUCGUGUCAGGUCACCUCACCUGGGUCGUCUCUCUCUAGCCAUGUACCAAUCACAGCAAGAACGCCAUGUCUACACCUUCGGAACGGGUUACAUCGACAACGGCGUGCCCACCCACUACACUCCUGAUCCAAGCCCUCCGGCCCAAGCUCCCCCACGCCGGCGUUUGACCCCAUGCCGCAUCCUGGUGAGAGUCUUCAUCGGCGUCUGCACCUUCAUAGGCGUCCUCUCCCUCCUCAUCUGGCUUAUCUACCGUCCUCGGACGAUCCAGAUGGCCGUGGACUCGGCAACACUCUGGAGCUUCAACCUGAACUCGACGACGAGCCUCCCGCUGCUGUCCUACAACCUCACAGCCGGUGUGUCCAUCUCGAACCCGAGCAAACGGGUAUCCGUCUACUACGACCGGCUGCAGGUGGAGGGAUUCUACCAGGAAGAGCGGUUCGGCCGUGCCGCCUUGCCGCUGUCGUUCCAGGGCGUCCGGCGGACCAACGCGGUGCGAGCCGUGCUCCAGGGGAGCUCCACCGGAUACUUCGAUAACGCGACGGGAAGUGGAACGGGUGUCUUCCCCGUUGACCUGUGGGUCGUUGGCACCGUGCGGUACAAGUAUGGCGACCUGACGACAACGUCCGCGAGUACGCUGUCGGUGAAAUGCCCACUUGUGCUGCAGCUGAUGGAGGCCUCAACCAGGGUCGAGUGUAUUGUGAUCAGCUCUUGAAUCUACUAGAGCUUUGUAUCCUAGCCGAUGCAGGUGUUCUGUACUCAUCUGUAAGAGCACGCUGUUGGUGAAAUGCCCGAUUGUGCUGCAGCUGAUGGAGGCCUACCAGAGUCGAGUGUAUUGUGAUCACCUCUUAAUUCUACUAGAGCUUUGUAUGCUGGCCGAUGCAGGUGUUCCGCGCUCAUCUGGAAAACGGCAAUAGAGGCAAGCACCCGUGGAGUCCUCGACAGGCCCGAGUUGCUCUGAGUUUUUCUUUUUCGGUUUAUAAUUAGUAGCAAAAUCAAAAUAUAAGAGCGUUAAGAUCACUAAAAUAGUAAUCUAAAUGCUCUUAUAUUUCUUUAUGGAGGGAGUAUCAUCUAGAUGAAAAUUAACAAAGUGUCAUCUAACUCGCGUGCGCUAUGUGAUUGACCCUUUUUUUUGAGUUAUGACUUCCUCUGAAUUGGUUAGUCAUUUAAAUAAAACUUGAAAUGGUUUUUGUAGACAGGAAUAGAGAGCCAACAUAAUCUCCCAUGCUCUAUAGCAUCACGCGUGUAGAUCUUCGAAACUAUGCCCUAUGUUGCUAUGUCUCAAUGAUUUUUUAUUUUGAGUUCAAACUAGCCACGUGGAAUCUAAUUUUGAAGCCCUUGUUGAUACAAAGCCAAUGAUGAAACCUAUGUGGUAAGCAAUACAAACUACUCAAAAAGAAACCGAAUAGCAAAUCAGUUUAGGCUGCAAAGCUUUUUUUCUUUUCUGGAAAACGCCUUCAAUUGAGAUAAUGUCACCAUCAUUUGUUUUUGGUUGUGCGCACUUAGCAAUUCCACUUCUUCCCUGUAUGUGCACCUACCAAUGAUUUCUUUCGCAUGUCAAGCAUAGUUUGAUAUUAACUUCUUUGCAUAGAGAAGGAACAAUUUUGAUUGGAUCAUGCUAUAGUGCUACAAUUCUAACAUUCGCUCGUUAGAUUUUCCGUUUUACAUGGAGUGGACUGACUAUAUAAUGACCGUUCAGUUGCUUCCAACCUCUCCUGCUCGAGCUCUAGCGCAACAAGGCACAUGAGGCAGAGCCGUGUGUGGUUUUUUGUUGCACCAGGCCGAGGAGAGCUAACGUUACUUUUGCAGGCGCACGAGGCCGAGAAGAGCACUCACGCAAGGGUGGCAGGCCCAUUACCGGAUUUCAUCUCCACUAGUUUGGGAAGGAUCUAGAACCUUCCCUGAACCAGUUUUGUUUCUCCCACUUUAUUGUUUUUAGUUUUUUCUUUUUAUUUUCCUUUUUAUUUUUUCCUUUUUAUUUCUAAUUUUAUUUAGUAUUUUUUUGAUUUACAUUUCUUUUUGGCCUUUUUGUUUUUAUAUUCAUUUUUUCGAACAGCUUUCAAAUUGAUGAACAUUUUUUUAAAAUCGUGAACAUUUCUUAAAAUACAUUAACUUGUCUUUGAAUGGCGAACACUUUUAAAACUCGUGAAUAUUUUUUAAAAUACGCGAAUAUUCUUUCAACUUUGACAGUUUUUUGAACAGGGGAAAAUUGUUUUGAACCGAAGAGCUCUUUUGGUAUUUGGAACCAAUUUUAAAAAUUAAGGAACAUUUUUUAUUUUGAAAAAAAUUCUUGAGCUCAUGGAUGCUUAUUGAAUCAGUGAAUUUGAAUUUCUUUGAACAUUUUGUGAAAUUCAUGAACAAUAUUAGAAAUACAUGAACAUUUUUUAACAUUUUUAACAUAUUAUAGAAAUUCAUGGACUUUUUAAAAAAAUUGUGAACACUUUUUGAAUUUAUUUACAUUUUUUGAAUACAUGAGCAUUUAUCAUUUUUUUAAUGUGGGAACAUUUUUCAAAAUCACGAACAUUUUAGGAUUUCCUUGAUAUUUUUAAAACCUUGCACACUGUUUCUAAUUCAUGGACAUUUUAUGAUUUGUACACUUUAUUUUUCAAAAUUCGCAACUUCUUUUGAAAUUCGGAACUUUUAUGAAAACCUGAAUUAUUUAACAGAAAAAACAUAGGAAAAAGUAUUGGCCCGAAGCAGUCAAUCAUUAUCACUUCGGCCAGUUUACAUGGGCGAGACGUGAGUCGGGGCGAGGGGCAUGCAACGAGGCCAUGAAAGACACAGUGACUAGUAGCACACGAUUUGACAACCUCCAGUUCUAUCCUGAUCUAGUAGAGUGCGUGUGUUCUCGUUAUUCACAUGUCUUGGGCAGCUUAUACAAAGUACAAAAUCUGUUUUGGUAGAUCCAAGAGAUCAUGAUAGUGUGACAAAAGUUACCUGUAAUUAGUUGUCAUGCAUCUACCAAGCUCAAAGAUAUUCACAAUACGUCAUAUGUGACACGAGUCUGCCUACAAACAAUUAUUGGCAUAAAGUUGAAAAAACUAUUGGACAAUGUACUCUUGCCUUGAUAAGUAAUGUGUUCUGGCGAGUGGAACUAAAGUUGGAAGAUAUAGAUGUUGAGUCGGCAAAUUUAUCCCAGAUUAUCGAGAUUUGAUAUGGUUCUCUCUCUUCACGCUUUGGCGGCUCUCGGUUCUACUUUUUCCAAGAUUCGGUUUUGGUAAUAGCAUUCCACGUAAUUAACCCCCUCCUAUCUUUUUCUAAAAAAUAAUCUCGUCCUCAUUCAUCCAUCAACUCAACACCAACAGGUGGAAAAUAGAUGCGUAAGUUAUUUUACCAAUGGCAAAAUCAUAAUUCAGUGGUAGGAAAUUUAGAAAAAUGCAAUCAUUGUAGAUAAUGUGCCUUGUAUUAGCACCUAGGGAAUACAUUCCUUGUAUUAGAUUUUUUUUUGUAACCCAUAUAAAUCACAACAUAUAUAAAUAUACACUCUAGGAAUUUCUACUGUUGGCCCAAAAAAAUGUGCUUGUUCCCCAACAAUAGUUAUCGACAUAGUGGGAAAGGUGGUUACAAAUCGAAGCUUUUCGACAUUAUGAAUGUUGAGCCAAAAUCCGUCGAGAGGAACUUAAGUUGAGAUAUGCAUAUGCAAAGUUUGCAGAAAUCCUGAUCAUCCGGACGAGAUGGUGGCCUCUCCUCACACUUUAGCAACUCCAGGUUUUUCCUUUAUUGGACUCUAUUUCGGUAAAUGUGCACCACUAUUUCGGUAAAUGUGCACCACUCAUCAACACAAAAUUAACCUUCUCGUAACUUUUUAAAUUAACCCCCCUUCCCUGCCUCGCUCCACUGCCGAAACACGACAAAGUGACAUCUAAAUGUUUUGUGGAAGUUAGGAUAUUUAUCGCGUGACGACUAUAAAGGGGGGGGGGGCGCAAGAGGUGCAGAUCACCCAUUGACAACCUAAAUACAAGUAAGGUAACCAAAUAACGUAGGUGUGCUCUCAGCGAACUUCCAAUGAGAGUCAUGUUCGGAGGCGAGGUAUUAUUCGCUCUAACAUCAUACUCCAUUGAAUCUUUGUACAAAGCUAGACUAUUUUGGUAAUGGCACAAUUAAAUAAGUUCACAUAUUUGUUCUCAUGCCAUUAAACAAUUAAUUUUGUGAAUAAGUGCCCAACCUUAAUAUAUAAAUCUAUGUAGCUGGCAAUGCUCAAGGUCUAGCCGUCAAUUUAUUGUGUGUUCGAAUCGCUCGAUGAUGUGGUUUGCUUUUUACUACAGGGUAUGAGAUUUGGUUGGUUCAGAACUAGUUACCCACUUAAUAGCAAUUGUUAGUGUUAUACUAUAUUAGAUGCACCAAGGAACCCUCUUUUAAGUAAUUUUAAUGUUCGCAAGUGUCGUUAUGCAGCUAUACUGAAUGAAAGAAACACUCAAAUUGCGAAAAAAUUCCUUUUGAAGUAGAAAUAGAGAAGGGUGUGAAUAUAUUUUGUUGGCAGUUUGAGUUAACAAGGGCAAAUGAAUAGUAUGUGCUAUUGGACCAGACCGACUGAAAAUAGGUCAGUGAUUCUAAAGAGGAAUAUAAGAAUACCAGAUUCCCAUAGAGAAAUAUACACGGUAGGGAGAACUACAUAUUGGUUCACCUAAAAAAAGGAUUGUGAGGUUUCUCCCAAAAAGGAAUGAUGGGAAUAAUUAGUUGAAGAUAUGUGCAAAACCAUACAUAAAAUGUACUCCACAUUUACGUGGUAAUUCUAAAAUUGCGAGUCAAAACUAGCCAUCUUAAUCCAGAUUAAUUUCCUCAAGACAUAAUUUAGUUGUACUACUACAAAAAAUUGAAUUCAUAUUGCAUAGCUAUGAAAAAGGUAACAUAAGUACUCUUCAAAACACCAAAUCAUGUCUACAAGAAUUCUGGAAAAUGGCUCUACAGUCGAACGCAAAACCUUUCAAUAUUGUAAUUUCAAACUAAUGCAUAUCUAUGUAAUGCAGCAAUACCACUGGAAUUUGAGAGGAAACAGUUCAAUCUUCGCUUGUCAUGAUGUGUAUGGAGGAGACGACGCUUGCAACGUAUUGGUGUUAACCUUUCUAUACCAAGGUACUGCCUAGGAUAAAUUCUUCUAGAAAAGCAAAAUCCUUUGGAAGUUCUGCAAUUACAUCAUGUGCUGCCAGCACUAUACUAACCCCUUUGCCCCCCUCCCCAUGCACACACGCAAAGAGAUUAAAAAGUAUUUGCAAAUACAACAUGCACUCCCAACACUAUAUAAACCCUGUCCUCCUCCUCCUCCUGCACAUAGGGUAUUUGAAUCCUCUCAAAGACAAACGAUCAGGCACCACCUUUGCCACCUGACCGUGCUUGCAAUGGAAAUUCCAGGGGCAUCAUCUCGGCGCUCCGUGGCCAUGUCGUCAACCUCACUGCUAAAGCGAUGCAGUGGCAUGGCACAGUCGCGAAAAGGGUGCCGCUAUGACCCAGAGAGAGCCGGCAUCGGGAUUGUCUCGGCUAUUAUGGAACCAACCGAUGCACGCCUACACAUCGUCGGGCCUCUCAUCCACACCAACGCACGUGAGAUCCUAGAGGUUACACUGCCAAACCUUAUUUGGAGCAAUAGGAGGCCAUUCCGAGCAGCCAUACUUUCAUCUGGUCUAUGCCGCAGCUGGAUCGGUAGUGGCACCGUCUACAUGUACAAGUAAGAAAUUUAUUGUCAACUCAGCACCUCCCCUUAGCAUCCAAGAAAAGUUAAUUAUAUUAUAUGCAUGAUUCGCCUUUUUUGUCGCAGAGGUGAGAUGGGAUUCUGUAAACCGGAGUGUGGCAACGACUAUAUUGUGGAGCAAUUGGAAAAACAGAGAUGGAGGCUGAGGUGGUGUCAAAGAGAAAAGGUCCCACCAAUGGAGGACGAUAAGGAAGGCAAUCAGAGCUCCAUGUUCUUCACCUGCGCUGGUAGCCUAUGAUGCACCUACAUAUAUGUUUGAGAGAUGUAUGGGCUUAGAAGGACUGGAACUUAUUUUUCACAACUGUAUAACUUGGUGCUUUUGUAAGUAACAGAACACCUGAUGGUUAGUAAAUAGCAAUACACUUUUGACAUGGUACGAGCAUAUCUCUUCAUUCACAUGAAACGACGCUUGCAUACACUCGAGAUAGUGAUACACCACACAUUACAUGCUAGCUGUACAACACUUCCAAGCAUAUUGUCA